GUUGUGUGGGUUUUGUAGAGAAAGACUCAUCUCGUGGGUCAGAUUAGGGGUUCAAUUGCAAGCCUUAUAGGUAUUGACAUCAACAUUAUUUUGAGAAAUUAUAGAAUGGGGUUGCUAUUGCUUUUUCCCCCUCAUACCUAAUUUUUUUUUAUUAAUGGUGUUUCUUAAUGUGUCCAAACGUAUUAACUCUCUAGGGCUUAUACUCAAAGUCCAGCUUAUUUAUUCAGAAAUGCUCUGGAGCAACUAUGAACUGUUUAAAAUCCAUCAAAAUUGAAUGCAAAUUGAACCCAGGGGAAUUGUCAUAGUGCUAAAUAUCGUUGAAGCUUUUAUCAAAGAUUCAAGGGACUUUAAAUGUUAGACUCCACAUAAGUGAAGUAUAGUAAAAAGAGAAUCAAGACUUGGAUUUUCUCCCCCUGUAAUGGUUGGCAUUAGACUCAUAGUAAAUUGUGAAAGUACCUGUAGAGAAUUAGAUGUAUUUGAAAAUGAAAUUUUCUACGGUUUCUUCAUGUUCCGUUUCUUUUCAAUUACUUGAACUUUUAUCAUGUUCAGGACAAAAUAUUAAGACUGCCUAAUUUCUAUGUUUCUCUAUGAGAUGAUAGGAUGCCUCUGUUUGCAUGUCUUUGAAUCCCAAGCAUGCAUAAGAAAAAGCAAAUGUAUUGUGGGGAAUCGUUUUUUUUUCUAAUAAAUACUUUUGCUGCUUAGAUCUUGGAUAGACAGAUCAUUAGUUUAUUUAGGGUGAAAAUUGGAUAAUUGAAAAAUUUAUUCAUAGACCUUUUCAAUUGUUACUUCAGUGUCUUUCAUUGUUUUUAUUUCCGUAGUAAAGAAAGAUCUUUUUAAUUGUUAAUUCUUUUGGUUCUUUGGCUUUAUAAUGCUAGUAUGCUUCUACAAAAUUGUUUCUUUCAUUUAUUCAUUUGGGUUAAUGAGAUCCUCCCAUGUUUACUGUACGUUUUACAAAUUUAACUGAUCUAUUCAGAUUUGUCGAUACUUUUGAAGAGGUCAUCUAUCCAAUGGGGGAUCCUGAUGCUGUGACCAUUAGUAAGAGAGACCUUGAGCUUCUGAAGCCAGGGAUGUUUAUUAACGAUACUAUCAUUGACUUUUAUGUUAAGUAAGUUUGAGUUUUCUCCUGUCUCUAGCAGAAGUUUGUUUCUCUUGGUUUUUGUUUGUCCUUAUCUUAGAAAUUGGCUGCAUAUAUUAUAUUUCUUCAUUUUAAUCCCUAUACCAUGAAUUGAUUACCAUUGGAAAACCUCUUUUUAUUUUUAUUUCUUUUAUUUUAGUGAGGAUAUUUAUAGCUGAAAUAAAUAGUGCAGAUAAUUUUAGUGUACUUUCGAAAUAGAAAGGCAAGAAACAUCCAAAUCAUAAUGUGAGAUAGUUGCAAUUUUUAGUUCUACGGUUACUUGGGAUUUCAUAUCUUUUAACUUUCAGCCGAUUAGACUGAUAAUGGAUGGGAAAUUAUUUCAUUGAUAGAAUGAAACCCUUAUAUAAAUAGGAAUUCCCAUCCGAGGACGUUGCAAAAAUUCCUUCAGUAGGAUAUGAAAUUGUUGAGACUAUAGUUGCAAAAAGGAGAAACUUGCUUACAUCAAUAAAGCUUUGAAUUGAAGACUCAAGAAAUACAGUUCAGUGAAGAGCAAGUUGUGGGCCAAGUAAAAGGGAGUCCUGAAGUUUAGGAAGCGUCUGGGACAAUGAACUAUAUUUAGAAAAGUCAAUAGUAGAGCUAAAAUGUAGAAAAGUUGUUAUGAAAAAGUUUGAAUAUUAUUGAAUUAUUUCUCACUUUGUUGUUUUUACAAGAGUACAAAGCCCUAACUUAAAUAUAAUGCAUAUCUAAUAAAAUAAAAGGAAAGACUCCUACAAAAAAAAAUUACAUAAUAAUUACAGGGAAUUAAAUCAAAUAUAGUAUAAAUCAACAGUUAUAGUUAGCUUACUUGACUUAGUAGAGUCUCCCACAACCUAUGAAUUCUGGAAAGUGAUUGAUGGAGGAUUUGUACAGAUGGGAGAGGUCCAACUUGUAAAAGCAUCUCAUUCAUGCACAAAGUCUCUUGUGUAAAUGAACGUAGAUCUUGUAACUGAAAAACUUGGGGAUUGAUCCCCUUGGCCAAUUUGUUUGUUUGUGUCUUGUGCAUUGGUGCUUCUUUAGCAAAACCAUCUUGUGAGCUCUUGGACGAAUAAGAAGACUGACAAAGCGGAGCCUCUUAGGUCACAUGGAUAUGUGAAAAAUUUUACUUGAGUUUUUACCUUUUGAUAGUUACACUUUCACCGGCCAUGGGUUCAUCUUCGCUGUUAACUUGCUCUUCCUGAAUGACAAUGUAGUUUGAGGACUUUAAUUGGUGGAGGUUUGGUUACAACCUUGCAUCUUGAUGCAAAAGACUUACACAAGCAGGCUGAAGUGGGUUGGGAAGCACACUUGUGCUGGUGGGUAGGGGUGUAGGUUGACGCUCACCCCAAAGAAAAGCAGGCAUAGGUGUGUGCCCUGACGAAUGUUGCACAUGCAAUGGGCGUGUGCACAUACACUCAAGCUAGUAGAAAUGCAGACAGGCGAGUGUGUGUGCACAUGCGUAUAGGGCUCAAAUAGACACAUGCGAGCGGCAACAAAAGUUGUGUCGGUCAGCUGGGCACCUUUGUCCAACCCUUCUCCCUCUUCACCUUUUAUUGUUCGCAUUUUGUGGUUGGGAAAGAGUUUCCUUUAAAGAUUGGCUUUGUGUGACUUUGUCGUCUGCGAGUGCUUGGUUACUUGUCCAACGAUAGCUGUGUUACCCUUUGAGAGGACUUGUGAGCCACGCCACUGUCAUAGGGUAAAAGCUUAAGUAAAACCUUAUUCAUGCAGCCAAAGAGGUUACUCUUAGUCAACUUUCUCAUUUGCCUAAAAGGAUUCCAAAACUGUUUUGUUUGAAGAAGCAAGGGUGUUUUUUUGGAACAAUUACAAAGUUUCAAAUUCCAUGGGAAAAAUUGAAACCUGCCCAAAUUUUAAGGUAUUUUGUAUGAUUUAACCUGUUACUAACUAAAAAAACGAAUUGCUGAUGACCAACUAACAAACUUAUCUAUUUAAGUAGUAGGAUUGUUUAUUUGAUUUCAAUUAGACACUUGCUUUAUCUCUGUUACCACUGCCAAUUCUUUCACCUCAUAUUUGAGCGCUUUUCCCUCCCUUUUAAUUAGCAAACUGAGAAUUAUUACAUGAAAUGUUUGUAGGUAUCUAAAAAAUAAAUUCCUUUCGGAGAAAAACAAUAGGUUCUACUUCUUCAAUAGUUUUUUCUUCCGAAAGCUUGUGGACCUAGACAAAGAUUUAUCAAGUGCUCGUGGAGGAAGGGAUGCAUUUCAGCGUGUUCACAAAUGGACAAAGAAAGUAAAUCUUUUUCAAAAGGAUUAUCUCUUCAUUCCUGUUAACUACAGGUUAUAACUUAUAACUUAUAUAUAUUAAGCAUUCUAUUUUAAUUGACUAUCCUGCAUUAUGUACUCUGUUCUAAUUCUAAUUACAAGUCUUGAUGACAGUCUCCAUUGGAGUUUGGUUGUCAUCUGCCAUCCUGGUGAAGUGGUAAAUUUGAAAGGCAAGAUGUUUAGCACUUAAUGAAAAUGUCAUUGGUACUAAGAUGAUCUUUUGUUGAUUAUUUCCUUUAUUGUUAAUAGUUUCAUAGUUUUUAAAGAUAUAUUUGUGUAUUUUUUUUUUCCUUAUUUUGUAUUUUCCUACUUUCUAUUGGGAAUCUCUUCUAUUUAAGAAAACCCCUUUCUUUCUAUGUGAAAUAAGAGAUAUAAUUUACACAUCUAAUUCAUGUAAUUUUUCAUAAUAUCUUGCAGAUAAAAAACAUGAUAACUUAUCCAAGGUACCGUGCAUCUUGCAUAUGGAUUCUAUCAAAGGGAGCCACAGAGGGCUGAAGUCUCUUUUUCAAAGGUAAUAUGCUCAUAUAUCCAUUUGAAUGGUUCCAAGGAGAUCUUUAUAUUUUUAUUUUUGAUGUCGUGAAGGUUGUUUCGUGAGUUCCUUGUGUUCAAUGGUUUCCUGUUUCUAAGUAGGUCUCUUUGCAUCAUUCAAGUUUGUUUGGAGCAGUUCCUCCAAAAAAAUUAUGAACUAACAAAAAAAGGAGGUGAUGAAUUGGGAUUUUUUUAAAAAAAAUAUUUUUAUCACAAGAUUACAUUAUUUCAAUAGAUUUCUGGUUUCUAACAAGUGGGUGGAAGCAUUUUGAGAAUUCAAGAGAGCAAGGCAAGUGCGUGCCAUCACUUAGCCAAACAGUUCAUGAAGAACUUCAGGCUCCCUCUCUUCCGAACAUAACGACAUCUCCCUUCUGUAUUCUCCAACUCAUUCAAAAUGCAUUUGAUGUAAUAUAGAAUAGUUAGUAAAACAGUUAAAUUGUUUAAACUGUUAACUAACAGCUGUAGAUAGUUAGUAAAACAUUUUAAUUGUUUAAACUGUUAACUGUUAAAACUGUUUCAUAAAAACAGUUAUAUCAACUACUUGUAACUAGUUACACAUUCUUAAUAAAGACCCCUUCUCUUAGCCAUUAGAGGCAGAGAAUUCAUUUUGAGAAAUAAUUCUACUUUGAUUUACAUCAGCAUUGGCUCAUAGAUUUAGGUGAGAAAUCCAUGAUCUGUUUUAGCAAGGCUAAAGAUCUGUUUGGAAUUAAAAGGGCUCCUAAUUAAACUUAAGUUGAUGGCUCCUAAAUAAAGUUAAGCUGGGAUAAAAGGUAGGUGACAAAAUAAAACCUCGUUCUCUGUAUUAGGUGACUACCUAGAUUGAAAAAAAUUGUACAAUUUACAGUACUAUACUAAUGGUCUUUAGAACUGACUGGAAGUUGUUUUGAAACUUUCGUUUUGCAUUGUUAAUCAAUGUUAUCUUCUUUGUUGUCAUCAAGCAUUUCACCAGGAAUAUCUUUCAUGGUAUUUGAGUUAAUUUUAAUGGAUUUUUUUCUGCCUUUUGUUCUCCUUUAUUCAUGUUUUCUCUCUGAAUUUUACAUCUUAGUUUAUCUAAUCAUUAUAAAUUUCUUGUGAUGUUAGUUUAAAAGCCUAUAUUUUGUAAUGUUCUUCGUACUUUGAAAUUCUAAUGUCAAAGGUUACCGAUAAUUAUUUUAGAUUUUAACGUGACAGUUACUUAUGUGAAGAGUGGAAAGAGAGGUAUGGUGAUGGAGAUUACAAAGAUAUUUCUGCAGUGUUCUUAACCUUGCCAUUUAUCCCUCUAGAGGUAUGGAAGUAUUAAAAAAUUUAGUAGACUCCAGGGAGACUAAAAUUUUGAAUGUGUUGCCAUUGUCAAGAUCCUUCAUUUUCUCUGCCCCCCCAACCCCCUAACCUCUCACACCUCAACACAAUAUUAAUAUCAAUAAUAAUAAAAUAGAGGAAAAAAGAAAUUAAAAGAACAGUAAAUUGAAUAAUAUUUUUCAUAUUGUAUGUUAUCAUAUAAUCUUUCUUUUUAUUUCUGAAUUUUUAUUGUAGGUUGAGAAAUUUCUUUUUGAGGUUGAGUGCAUGUCUCAAAUGGUAUAGGAUAGGAAAUGUCCCCACUUUUAAAUGUUGGUUAAUAUGCGAAGGAUAUGGAGUUGGGCCUCAUUCUCCUAGGUUCCGUUUUUUCCUCCUCCUGAACUGCACUGUUGAUUUAGAUCUCCAGGUGUCUAAUUAAGCAACCAAAUAUCCCUUGCUGCAUACAUACUUGUAGCUUGAGAAUAAUAAACGAUAUUUAUCUUAUAUUGAGAUGCCUUACUGGUCAGGCACUCACAAUUAUCAAUAAAACCUUGAUUAAUUUGGGGUUCUAUGAUGGAAGAUUUCCCAGGUUUUGUGUUUAAUUGAUGCUCUAGGUGAAGAGCUUAAUAAAUAAAACUUCUUGAUAUCUCUUUUUAUUAGUGUUUUAUCACAUGUGGUGGAGCAUAAUGCCACAAUGACCAAAGAACGAUAUGUUACCUUUGUACGCCUGAAAUGUGUAUAGCAUAUACACAAUGAUUUUUCUCUCUUUUUCUGAGAGUUAGUCAACUAAAAUAUAAACACUCUGUGCGUCAACAAUUUUUUGGAAGAUUCGUCUGAUAGUAGAUGUUUGUGUAAUCUGCGUUCCCAUGUCUAACAUUGACUUUCGUUUUUGCUGCUUGGUCAGUUGCCACAACAAGAAAAUUCAUUUGAUUGUGGUCUCUUCUUACUCCAUUAUGUGGAACUUUUUCUGGAGGGUGCGCCAGUGAACUUCAGCUCUCUCAAAAUCUUGAAGUUCUCGAAUUUUGUAGGUUCUUUAUCCUUAAAUUACAAAUUCUCUAUAUGUGGCGUAUCCUGUUGGUUCUAUACACUUACUAAACAUUUGUCUUUUUAAUAUUUGCUACCUUAUAUUCAAGAUUGUCUAUUCAUGAGUCAAAAUGUUUAUCGGAAUUAAGAUUUAGUAUAUCAUGUAUCCUAAAUGUUGAGGAAAGUGCAAAAUCUAUCUCCACAUUGGUGUGGUAUUAUCUACGUUGAGCCUAAACUCUUACCAUUUUCUUUUGAUUUCAUCUAAAAUGACUCAUUUACCAAUUGAGAUAAUUGUCCUUACUUAUAUACCAUGGACCUCUAUCUUUUCCAAUCAAUGUGGGACUUCAAUUGGACCUAAGAAUCCUCUCCUCAAACCAAUUUUCACACUUGAGAGCCUCCCCUCAAAAAAUCCAUCCACCCUGACAAAGCUUGGUCUUUACCUGGUGGCACAACCAAUCAAUUCCAAGGAAACAUUUGAACAGUGCAUCAGCAUUGUUCACACUGACGAUGAGAGCUUUUUUCUCUUAUCAAGGUGAGUUGAGAACAUCCAGAGAGAGCAGAGCAUAGAUCACAUUGUGGCACCUUCUCUCUCAAACAAAGAUAUAUCACACAAUCUUGCCAAUAGAGAUAAUUGUCCUCACUCAUAUACCAUUAAUGUCUUUUUUCGCUAGCUAAUGUGAAGCAAUUUGAGGACUGAUCUAAGAUGUACGUGAUAUCUUCAAGAGAGACAAUUUUCUGCAUAUGCAACGGGAAAAAUUCAAUCAAGCAGAAUAAAAGAGGAAUACCAAGCCCACAAAGAAGAAGAAAAAUUGUGCAAUAAAGGAGAAUUAGAUGAUUAGAUGAAAACAUGAAUGCGAUAUGACUGAAGACAAAGGUGAAUCAUAACUAUUGUUAAAAAAGUUAUAGGCGUUAUUGCAUUAGACGUGAUGACACAAAAUCUUUUGGGUUAUUGUAUGGGACGGGGAGGAUGAAAACACGUCUAAAAGGAAUAACUGGGCGAUUCUUUUAGACCCAUUACCCCAACCCGAUCGAUAGAUUUUGAGGUUCCCAUGGAAAGUCAAUGGGAUGUAGAUGAGGAAGAGACAUACUAAGAAAUUUGUGUUGUUGCUUGUGAAGACGUAGUAAAACAGAAAAAAACUGGAACUGCACAUUUGACAUGAGCGACGAGUCUUUUACCCCAAACCCUACACAACCCGACUUGUAGCCAAUUCUCUUUUCCUUUUCUUAAUUGAACCAAACCCAAAUGCAAGCCAAGCCCAACUUUUUUUGUGGAAUCAACUCAACCCAUUUUCAAAAUUGUUCAAUUAAGCAAAUUUUCCUCUAAGUCAUACUACUAUUAGCGAUUAAUUGGCUUGAAGAUGAGUUUCUUUUACAUUUUGCAUCGGUCUAACUAUAAAAGGUUGUUUGAAGAACUGAGUUGAGAUAUGAUGUCUGAAAUUCAUAUGAAUGUGGAGUUCAUGUGUCUGGAGAGUUCACAUUACUGUGUUUAGAGUGCAGAGUUGUUUUGAGUUCGUGUUUGCGUUUGUGGUGCAGAGUUGUUUUGAGUUCAUGUUUGUGUUUGUGGUGCAGAGUUGUGUUCAUAUGUGAGGGAUGUCUAUUACAUUUUUUUGAGUUCUAAAUAUUCUAUUUUUAUGAUGGAAAUUUUUAGUUUUUAAACUUUUUUAUUCAAUAAUUUUACCAUUCUUUUUUUUGAAUGUUUGAAUAAGAUAUGAAUUGCAUUUUUUCUUUCUUAUGGUGAUGUAAACAAUUAACCCACGACAUUUCUUGCAUAAACAUGGGUAAAUUUAAUGAGAAACAAAAGAGAAAUCAAAACUUUUGAUUCCUAAUUUUUCUCUACGAAUUUCAUCAGCAUCAUCUUCAUUUUUUUUCUUCCUACUGUUGCUUUGUAUUUUUCUCAUGAAACUUUUUUGAAUUGAAUCCCCCACGUCAUCUUAGCAACCAACGAAAUGCCACCACAUUUCUCCAACAAUUUCACAUCUAAUGCCUCAAAACCUGUAUUUAAAUACACAUUCGCUAGCCAAGUUUUUUUAUUUCUUCUUUUUAGAGCAUAUUACUGGUCGAAUUGGUAGAUAGAGUUAGUUGUUGAAGAUGAACAACAAAGUUGGUGGUUUGAGUUAGUUGCUCAAAGUGAUAGUUGGAGUUAGCCGCCAAAUGUGGUCGUUGUUAAGGUGUAUUGUUAGAGAUGGUCUUCACUGUGGUUAGUUUCCUGCAGUGAAUGUUGGUAUUGAGCAUUAGAGGUGAUUGUCAUAGGAUUUGAUCAUCAGAGGUGAUUUUUGGAGCUCGAAGUUGAAAGUGGUUGUCAAAGUUGAUUAUCAAAUGUGACUUUUGUAAAGAGUUGUAGUAGUAGGUGGUUGUCGGAGCCAAAAGUUAUCUUGGAUUUGGUUGUGGGAGUUUGUCGUCGAAGCCUGUUGUUGGUUGCAUUGAGAUGGUUGUCAAAGUUGAUCACUGAAGGUGAUUUUAGUCCAAGUUUGUUGUUGGAGGUGGUUAGUGAAGCCCAUAAUUGGUUUGUUGAGUUGGUCAUAUGAAAGUUGAAGUCGAAUUGGUCACGGAAGUUCGUCGUCGGAGUUGGCUAUCGUGGCACGAAGUUGGACGUCGUUUGAGUUGGCCGUGUGUAAGUGGUCAUCGAAGAGGGUUCUUGGAGUGCGGCAAUGGAAGUCGUCAACAAUGGACGAUGGGUGGACCCAUUGAAAACAUUGGAAGAAGGGAGAGUUGAGUGUGUCGGUAUAGUAUACCAACUCAAUGUUUGCCCACCAACUUUAAAUGUUGGUGGACUUGAGUUGGUAUUAGUCAAACAGCUCAUACAUGUUAUCCUAUUGCAAAGGAAUUAUGCAAAAUGUGAACCCAAUAGGGGCCGAGCUCGAUAUAUGCAAACUCUAUGGCUAGUCUUGGGCUAGUGAUUUAUAGGAUUGAGGAAAUAAGUUGUAACCAUAUUUGUAUAUGGAGAAUAUUUGCCACUGGCUUCUGUAUCCAGGCACCCCAAGAUCUCCAAUAAAUACAACAAAUAGACUCCCAAUCUUGGUACGCAGAUACUUCAAUACCUCGGUAUGUCUUGUAUAUAGUUAUGAAUAUGGACUCUCGAGCUUUGUAUUUGACAAUCUGACUAAACGUCCAAGUUCCAAUUUCGUAACCUCCACACUUACUCAACUUAAUCACAAGGACAGUUCACAGCACCUUUCUUAUUCUCCAUUCCCAUAAGCCAACACUUCUCAUGAUAACUUAAUGCAAGCACAACCCAAUUUUAAUCUUCUCACAAGCAUACUUAACAUCAUCAAUCAAAUCAUGUUGCAUUCUUAGUCAAUCCAAACUAUCAAGUGUACAUUAGACAUAAGAAUCAUGCAUUCUCUCACAAGAUUUCUCCCAUACUGGCACACCGGUUCUUAAACAACAUUUGACAUCAAGAACCCAUAAGAACAGGGUUGUGACUCACCAAUUUAUGCAUUCUAUCAGUUACUAUAACAUGCUAUUUCAUCGAUAAUGUCUGUCAUGCAUUUUCUUAACACUAUAUUUAUUUAGCACUUGGGCAGUUGUACCUUAAUGUGCACCUCCUCUAUUUUCAGUGCCUUUAUCGUUUUGUAGAUUUUUUAUAUUUAUGAUGCAAGUACGGAACCUUAUUUUUCUCUAAUGGCCUUACAUUGGUAACAGUUACUGUUUUGCCUUUAUUUGUGUAAGUUUCUGCAUGUCUAACAUUAAUACGAUCGCCAGCUAAGCCAGGACUGGUUCCAUCCUGCGGAGGCUUCUCUAAAACGUGCACAUAUCCUAAAGUUAAUUUAUGAAAUCAUGGCCUGUAAUCAAGCAAAGGAACUCUCUGGUAGCAUUGGUAAAUAUCCUUCUUCUGAUGCUAAUGACUCGGACAAUGAUUUAUCAAAACACGUGUCUGGACAGGCACAUAUUUUCACAAUGACCCAUUCUGACAACUUUUCGAGUGUUGGAAAAGAAGUUGGAUCAGUGUCCAAAGUAUCAUCUGACACAAAUUAUCAACCAAUAGGAAGAUGGGAGAGUGUCAUGCCACCCAUUGAGGUAAUUUAUUGUUUUCUUUCAUAUAAUGAUUAUACUUCUCGUUUGCUUACUGAUUCACAGUCAUCGGUUAUGGAGGUGAUUGUGUGAUAUACUAGUUUUCCUUUGGCUCGUCUCUACCAGCAUAAUAUGUGUUCUUCAAUUUAGAGGCUGUGAUAGUUUUUGGGAUGGAGUCGAAAAUGGGUGUUAAAUACGUCAUUAUAAUGUCCCUGAAUUGUAGUGUAGAUUUGAACAAUGUGCCAGUAUGAGGGAAACUAGAACAUAUACAAACAUUGAUAAGUCAACAAAUGGGUGUCUUAUGUCUAGGAGAAACAAUAGUAUAGAAAAGAAAAAGCGCCAUCCUUCGAUUCUCAUAUUGUUCUCUCUUGGGUGAUAAAAAGGAAAAAAAAAAAAAAAAGAAGUUAAAAUGCCAUUUUUCUCUAUUUUAGUCUUUGUAAAAUGAGAAAGCAGCCCAAACAAUUUGUCUUUUGUAGAGAGUAGUUAUAAGUCUUUACUAUUAUAUUUACCAUAGUGAUGUUUACAUACAAAUUAUGCAAUUUUUCAUAUUAUAUUAUCUAAAAGAAGUGCAUUUGCUUUUGUUUUCAUUUCCUUUUCUGGGGGCGCAGGAAGAUGAGAAUGGUGAAAGAGCUGAUUCACCACAAUGCUUAGAAGAUCGCCCCCAAGCUUCGACGGUUUCUGAAUGUUCAUCGGCCUUCAGUUUCGGCCAACAAUUUACGGAAUUAGAAAUAUGUUGGGAAGGAAGAUAUUCUAAAAACGUAAAAGAAAUGUGUAGAAAACCUUCUCCACGGCUAUCACUUCAUGAGUUGCAAACGCCAUUGGAAUUGGGACAACCAGAGAUCUUAACCAGCUCAAGUGAUGAACUUAUCAAUUGUGUAGUAGAAGACUCAGAGGAGGAAGGAAAUGAAAGGAAUGAGAGAAUCGAGAUCCAAGUUUCUUCCUCCUCCUCCUCCUCCUCAAGGAACAACUUGUUCCUAUCAAGGCAAGUGGUUGAAUCUCCUGCAAAAUUUAGUAGACAACAUCAACAUAAAUAAUCACAUAACUAAGAAAUGAACAUCCAUCCAACACACAUGAUUAGGGUUUGUAGGCGAAAUUAAUCAAAACUCAUUAGAAGCCAUAUUUUGAAAUGACUUAAGAUAGGUGGUUGUGUAUAAUAUUAAAUCUCCUUUUUCACAGCCUUUGUAAAGGUAUUGUCUGUUUGUGAAUAUGUAUGUAUAUAUGUGUGUGUGUGUGUGUAUAGGAACCUUAGCAUACUUUCCACCACCCCCCAUCUUUUCAUGACUCCAUCCACUCAUCCUAUCCUUUACAUUAUGAUCAUAAUAAUAAAGUGAAAAUAUCACUUCGAUCAAAUUUUACUUCAACGUGUUUUCUUUUAGUUAUUGUAUUUGUAAAGAUUAGUUAUUAACCAUCAGACCAAAAGUAUUAACAAAUAUAACUAAAAGUAAUAACAAAUAUAGCUAAAUCUAAGACAAUAUAACAAAAUUUAGAUUUACCUUUCAAAGUCUUGAACGAUAGCUAUUAACAAUAUAUGGUUAUACUUGUAUUAACCUACUAAAUACUUUAGGGUGAAAAAAAUUGGUGUUUGGCAAGUUCAUGAAAUGUAUUCUUUUAAAAUCAGUUUAGAAAAUAAUUUAUUUUAAAGAAAUUAAUCAAAACUAAUUUGUUUUAGAAAAUGAAUUAUCAAAUUGAUCCGCAAUUCUCCGUGCUUUAUUACACUAUUAAUCACAAUUUACUUCACAAUCAAAUUCAAUCAAAAUUAUUUCUCCAACAAAAAGGAUCAAAACUACCCCUUUAGUUUUGGAUUGGCAAAAACACCCCCGGUUAGUCCACUGUCUCCCUAUCUUUUUCUAUACAUAUAUACAUAUAGAAAAUUCUUUCAAAAUCUAUUUUUUUUUCUAAAUAAUCAAAAUAUAAUGUAUUUAUUUAACUUAUUAAUAUAAAAACUUUUGAUCUUAUGUGAGUGUUAAAUUUUAAACUUAUUUUUAAAAAAGCUUUUAAAAGAAAAUUUGUUCUUGAUAAACAUUUUUUUUCAUAGAUAAUUCAAAUACACCCUUAGUUGAUUUCGAGUUUAGCAAAUUAGACCAAAAUAUUUACAAAUGCAUCGGAUGCUAAAAAAAUCAUAAAAAAGUUUUUUAUUGCAUUGUAAUACUUUUGGAGAUAAUAAUUAAAUAUAUUUCAAGUAUAACAAAAUCAACUUGUAAUAAUAAAUUUGGCGAUGUGAAGCACCUCAAAGACUAAAUCUAAAAUUUGCACGUUUUACAAUUUUUUUUGCAUUCUAGUAGUUUGUUUGGUUUUUCAAUUUACUUUGUUCACCCAAGUUGGUGGACAAAUUUAUCUAAAGAAAAGAGAUGAUGUGAAUCCAAAAGCUUAGGAAGUGCAUGUUCGUGAAUGGCCUAUUACAAGAAUCUACGGCUAUGAAAAUCCAAGAGGCUUUCAUAUUGCUUCUUAAAAGGCUUAGCUAAUUAUUAUUACAAGAAGAGAUUAAUAUUUUGUAAUCCAAAACAUAUUUUGAAGGGCAUUGAUUAAAUCUAUUUACGUGCUCUAUCUAUACAUAACACAAACAAAAAAAAGAAUGAAAAUUUACCUUCUAUAAAAAUAAUUUUUAAUUUUAUUUUUGUGUGGUAGAGAGAUGUGGAAGCACCUACAUAAAUGCAUUCGUGAUGCACUCAAGGUUUUUCCUAUUUCCUACAAACUUUUCAUUGUUCCUAUCAAGGCAAGUGGUCGUGGUUGAGAUUAAGGAAGAUGACAAGUUUUAAUGUUGAAAUAUAGCAUGGAAAAAAUUGUGAAUAAUUAAUUUCUUCUCACGUUUAGUUAUGUUCUUGAACAAAUGAAACUGAUGUUACUCCUAAGGCACGAAAUACUAGAGAUUAUAACUGUGUAUGCUUGCACUUAGAUCUAAUUUACCUACAUUUUUACUACUAAUACAUAUUGGAUCGAUGUCAUAACCGUGAUGAAUGCUAUUUGUAAGAGAUCCUAUAAGGAAUUUAGCUUUGUAAAAUUGCGCCAAUGAAACAAGUAUCAUGUUGGUAAUGAAAUUUAUUAGACAAGAACGUUAACGAAAUAAACUUAACCAAGGUCCUGAACUUUAAAUUUAACUAAAAAGUUGAAUGAUUAUGAUAACUACAAAAUUUCGUGUUAAAAAAAAACUAAAUUUAAAACCUAAUAUUUUAUCGAUUGCAUUUAAUUUGAAAAAUAGAAGAUGGAUUACAUAAUCAUGUAAAUUGAAUAGAUGUAGUAAAGAGAGAAUUUUGUGGGAUGUUGGAUGGAUGUGAAGUAGAAUGAUAAACGAGAAUAUAAUAAAGAUGUGAAAUUAAAGGAAAAGAUAGUAAUUCAUCUGAAUGUAUAUUUGAAAUGAGCAAAAUAAUUAAUUGGAGAAGAAUGUGUAGAAAAAAUAAAUAAAUUAAAGGAAGAAAGAAAGAAAGAAACAAAAUUGUUUUGUUUAGUUUAGUAUUUUUUUUUUUCUUCAUAAUUUGUCUUUUAAGAAAAGAAGAAUUGAGGGAUUAUUAUGAAUUAAUUAAGAACUCAUUCAUUCUUCAGAAGCAGCACUUGCGGCACUGAGAUCCACGGAAAGAUCAACUGCCUGAAAACCAUAACAUAACACAUUUUACAAUCAUUUAACUUUAACACACACACUUUCCUCCUACAUUUCAUUUCAAUUCUCCAAUAAACAAACAACCUUUCAUCAUUUUCAUCAUUUCUUCUUUGUUUUCACUUGUUACUCUUCCUCUACUUUUUCUUUUAAUUACUCCCAUUUGAUCUUUUAUUUAGAUACGCUUUAGUUUUUUGUUUUUGUUUUUUCUUAAAAUUAAGACAAUUUUCUAUUUAGUUUUUAUCUUAUUUGAAUUGAAAGAGUUAAAUUUCAAAACUAAAAUAAAUUUCUAAAAUCUUUUCUUUUGUUUAUUUUUUAUAACAUUAUUAGAAAGUAUAAAAGUAAGUAUCGAAUUUGGAAGUAUUUGUAUAUUUAAUUUUGAAAAACUAAAUGAUUAUUAAAUGAGAUCUUUCACUUAUGUUUUUAGUUUUUAAAAAUUACCCUAUUAUUUUUUACUAGUAAGUCGGUAUGUUUUUCAAUCUAUUUCCAUAGAUGUUUUACAAAAUGAAGAAAAAGAAAUUAGUUUUAGAAAACUUGAAUCUUUUUUAAGGGUUUCUUAUAAAUGUGGGACAAUGUGUAUGGGAUUGAUUCAUGAGAAGAAAAUAAAAACGGUGACCAAAUGGUGAAGUUUGGAUUUUCAAAAGGAUGUGAAAAUUUUGAAGUAAAAGUUUGCGAAAAGAAAAGAAGUUGGAAGUGUUUGAAAAUGAGUGGUAACAAUUAUUUACCUUUCCAGUGAUCUUGCUGUACAUGGCAAGCACAUCUGUUACUGUCGACUCAAAAUGGGUACUUCCAUCGUAACUCUACAUUAGAAAGAAAAUAAAACCAAUGGUUUUCAAAAGCUCAUGAAAAACAGCCAAGUAGAAGCUCAAGCAACAUUGAUGACAUAUUUCUGACACAGUUGCUUUAAUUUUAUGAGUAAUGGAAGAAAUAGAUUUGUGAAUUAAGAAGUUACCGUAGAAAUGAAGCAAUUGUCUGUUUCAUGGUUAUUUAUGGGAACAUAUCUGUCAUAAGUUUCAUAGAAUAUCUCAUCAACGGGUCCAAGGAGGUCAAUCCCAGGCUUCAAUUCUACUUCAGGAUUAUCCGUCUCUGCUUCCGUCGAAACGAAAGCGAUGAAUUUUCCUUUUGGAGCAACGUUGUGUGCGUAUGAGCAACAGAAGAGGUACCUACAAAUUUAAGAAUUAGGAAAAACAACUAAUUAGCUACAAAACCAUUUCAUGUCAUAUAAUAUCGUAGCCCUAAUGGGUCAUACCUAACGCGAUGACCAUGUUUAUCACGAUAUUCACUUUUCUCACACUUUGUUGUACUUUUACCAUCAAUAUUGUGGUGGAGUAGAGGAAAAUGAAGAUCGUAAUAGACAUAGACAUGGCGAUCGUGUUACUACUACGAUAGAUGUAAUCAUCCUUAACAAGAUACUAUAUAAAAUGCGAUAGGACGUAUUUAGAAAGUUAGAUUUUGUUUGUUUGUGAGUGGCAAGUUAUUAUCAUUUGUAUAAAAAUCUCUUUUAAAUGUUUAUGCAUAACUCUUACAUGUCCGAUUUACGGCCAAGUUGCUUUUGCGGCAGGAUAACCUGAGCUGAAUGAGAAUCAUUGGUGUCUGGGAUUGGAUGACUCAUUAUACAAACUGCACGAGCUACCUUUCCAACCUUUUUAACCUGUUGAAUAUUCAAUAGAAAAGGAUCGGCAGAUGAAAAUAUAUAAGCAAUUUUGCAUAUGAGGAUCAGUCGUUGGCCUUCUGGUUAAUGGUUCUCUUAACCGUGGAAGUUGAUUCAGCCCAAUAACUCAUAGUUUAGUACUUUUUCGAUGUCAAGAGUUACCUUGUCUGGCAGAUACGAUGGGUCACAAACAACUUUUUUGCAUUUAGCAGUUUCUCCUUCGGAAGUCACACCAUAAGCUUUACCAUCACCAGCAAACUCAACCUGUUAUUCGAAAAUCAAUUAGUCUCAAAAGAACUGAAUGCUGGAUGUUCAGAAGGAACUAAUUUCUUCGCUAGCAACAAUAUAAUAGAAAGAGAAAAAUCAAGAAAGUAGUAUAGAUAAACUUUUUUGUGAACAACAUUAAGGUAGUGAAUGAAUUGUCACAUUAAAGCAAAUAACAGAAGUGUCGGUGGAUGACUUGGCACUACGUUAAACUUCAAAGGCUAAGUUUCAUUAUAAACUUACCAUGCUUUAAUUCACUAUUCAGAAGUCAAAUAUCACUGUUUCCUGCUUCAAAAUAGCUAGAAAUAACGGGAAUAGGAGAUGCAUUUACUGCUAAUCUAUAACUUUUUACCUUUUUCAGCAGAAAUCAGUUACUUUUACCUUUCAAGUUGCUUAGUAGUUAUUGAUUUAUGACGAACAUGAUGAUAAUCAGUAAAUUUACAGAGCCUAGGCUAGAACGCAACUGUUAGCAAGGUACUUUAUCAGUUUACCUUGCAUUCUGGCUUGUUGAGCAUGUAAGUUCCACCAUAAACGGCACUUAAACGGGCAAAUGCCUGCCAAAAUUUUAAAAUAGCACGAUGAAAAAUUUCCCUUGUAUGAUAUUAAAAACUGAAAGUUAUAAACAUGCCUGAGGCAACUCUCCAAGUCCGUAGAGUGGAUAGAUAUAGGGAGAUCCUCCUUGGAAGCGCGCCAAGGAUUCUGCGUAAAGCUAUAUACAACAAAUGUCAAUUCCUUUAAAGACAAGCACGUUACCAUUCUGAUAUAUUGCAGUGCAAUAUUUUCAAAUAUGUUUUCUAAGUAAAGAACAAAUGCACGGACGAAAGUAAAGAGUAAAAAGCAUAAAAGAUAGUUGUUUUUACCUUCAUUCUCUUCACAAAAUCUGAUGCUGGCCCAUUCAAAUAGCUAUCGUCAAAAUGUAGUGCCAAAGCAUGACCAAUAAAGUCAAUUGUAUCAUCUUCUAGUCCAUACUUCCUGCAAUACCAAAUGCAGAAGAAUGAGUGAAAAGUCUUUCUUCCCAUAAAAAUAAAAGUCACGUAAAAUCUAGUUUAAAACUAGUAUGGGGGACAAGACAAACUCACGUAAUGAGUUCUCUAGCUGUAACUUUGCUUAAAUCUAAACCUUCAUGAGAUUUUGGAUCACUCUCAUCAUAAUCUUGGACAUAAAUGAAGAACUUUCGAGCACGACGUUUCUCAAAAAGUCCCAUGAGUGGUGACUUCAGAGCUUCAACAUCAGUAGCUGGAACUUUGUAAACCUGAAGAAUAGAAGGAAGAAAAAAAAGCAGUGUGUUGACAGUUAACUUGAUCAAAUACACUAACAGCCUAACAUUUCUUUCUUUGUUCUUUGUAAUUGUUAAGAAAGAAACAAAUUAAAAAUAAAAAAAUAGAAACGGGAAACUUUCGGUAAGCAUUUAGUAUACCUUUCCUUUGUUGUACACGAAACUACCAUCAACAGCCUUGAAGUGUAGGUAUUUGGUAACAUCUGUGUGAAUGAGAACUCGAACCAAACCGCCAUUGGCCAUCAUGAACUAUGGAGGAAGAAAUGGACAGAAGCUCUCAGAUCGACCGCAACACUCAAGUCCCUAAUGAUAACAGGUUUGUUCUAAUUUUCUGUUUUUAUAAAUUAUGUUUGUGAUAGAACCUGAUAUACUUAAAUAAAAAAGAUAAUCGAAAUACAAAAUAAAUCAAGUAUUCGAGGUACGUGGAGCCUCCUAAUCUUGAGAUAACUCCCAAGCUCUAAUUCAUAUUCCAAAAUAUUGCUUACCUUUUCCAUUCCUCUCCAUUCUAUUUAUAACCAACUUUCCUAACGAACUCCCUAACCAAUUACUAUCAUUCAUCUAAUACCAAUAAAUAGUUAUAAUGUGGGAACUUGAUUACUAUUUUCAAAAAACAUACGAUGACAGUGGAUAAAUAUGUACCUACCUUGGGUAUCAUAUCAACAUUGUACUCUUUGCUCAAGCCCAACUGUUCUGGAGGCUUAUCAUUCCCCCUGAAACGCUUCCAAAGCUGUAUGGGGGAGGGGAGUGAAACAUAUUAAAUAUUAGAACAGAAAACUGGCAAAGGGAAUAAAAAUUUUAAUUAAUUGAAAACUUAAAACAAGAAUUUGAUUAUAAUGAACCUGUAUAAGAUUGAGAGAGGUUGAUGCUCCUCCAUAAUAAUCAUUUCUAUCCAUAUGAAGUACCUGUUCCAGAAGAUUGAUCACUCUCGUUUAAUCCCAAAAUCAAGAGGGAAAAACUAAAUGUACUCUCCAUGUUCAAGACCAGACCAGGAUAAGAACAGAUUCCUAAGGGAAACAAACUUUCGAAGAACAACUUAUCCAUCGCAGAAAAGUUGUUAGUUCUAAAAACAAAAUUAGCAGCUCAAAAUAAAGAAAUUCAGGCAUUGAUACAAUGCUGUCGAAAUGUUAAAACAAUAAUUCUUAACUGGAUUCAAAACAUUUCGAUUAAAAACUCAUCAGUGAUCGACAACAAAUUAAGCUAGAACAAAAAUUCCUCAAACAAAACUCAUCCGUGGUUAACAUUUACAUAAAGCCAGCCUGAAGAGCUCAAUCACUAUCCAAUACAUCAUUUACAACCUCCAUUUAUCAUCGUCGCAAGAUUUCAUAAACAGAUACAUUUCACAGAUCUAUACAAAAUCCAAAUCCAAAUCCUAAGCAAAGCAAAACACAAUUUCUUAUCAACAGAGAUUCAAGGACAUGUACUAUUGGAAAGUGAUGAAGAUGCAAAACAGGAAAAAUAGAAAGAAAAAAAAAAGAAAAAGAAAAAUAACAAGAGAAUGAAUAAUACUUUAAGGCCGUCGACGGAGAGAAGGCCACUGAGAAUGCAUUCCUUAAGGCCGGUACCGAGAACAAUAACGUCGUAUUCUUCAUCCAUGGGAGCAGGAAGGAAGAGGAAAGGAGAGAUCGAGAGAGAAAUGAAAGAAGGAAUAGAAAGAAAAAGAAGAGAGUGGGGGUUUUGAAGUGGGAGAUGAGGAGCAAGUCUUUAGCGGGAACCAACGAGAGUAACGGAAAACAAAGCAACUGCGUCCUCUUUUCACGCUAUGACAUGCACGUGCUUUUCACGCGCUACUAUUAUCAAAUGACAAACCUCUUUUUCUUUUUCUUUUUUUAAUAUCAAUAUUUUUGUAGAAAUUUUGCUGUGUAAACAUUUUUUUAUUGGUGCAAUUAUUUAAAAUAGUAAAAUAAAUUAAAAUAUUUACAAGUUAUAUAGCAAAAAUUUAUUUUCUAUUUCUCCAAUGCCAUUAGGGAUAUCACUAGCUAUUUUGUCAUCGGAGGAAUGUUAUAGCUUCAAAUUUGCUAUUUUUGACAAUUUUUAUUUUAUUUUAGUGGUAUAAAAUAUAUUAAGAGAACAUAAUCGACAACUCAAUUUAUUCUCUCAUGUUUUUAUUUUGGAGAUUUCUUUUUGUCGCAUAUCGCGAGAAUAGGCAUACUCACUGUGAAGAGAACGAGGCAUUUGUUCUACAUGACAAGAAUCAGUACAACUACGAGCUCAUUCAAUGACUCAGAUUUCUUUAAAAAUCUCAUUGAACAAGAACUAUCUUUUUUAGUACAACACAAUCGUAGAGGAAAUGAUCAAACAUUCAACUUUUAGAUAGGAAAGACAUUCUAAUUACUAUUAAGUUGAAGCUCCCUUGUAAAUAUUUAUGAGUAUUUAUUUGAGAAACGUGACUUUAUUAUGCGUCUUGCAUUUUUUUUAAAAAAAGUAGCAAAAUAAAUUAUAAUAUUUACAAGUUAUAGCAAAAUUUUAUAUUCUUUCAAGAAUAGAAACCGACAGACUUAUCAAUAUCAUUAAUAGAAGUAUAUUAGUGUCUAUUAUUAAUAGAAUCUAAAAAUUUUGCUAUAUGUUGAAAAUAUUUUGUCAAAUUUGCUAUUUUUGACAAUUUUUCGAUUAAAUUUAUGCAUUUCUAAAUAAUAUGCAACUUUAUUAAGUUUGUUAAUUAAUAAGAAUACGAAACAAUAGAUUUCACCAUUCCAAAUCUAAUUGAUAAAUCGAGAGUACUACGUACUCAAUUAAAAAAAUCAACCUUUGAAUUUGACCUCUACAUGUUAUUGAACUGAAAAAAAGUGGAUAAGCAAAGUCGAAAUUAAUUAGAGCAUUAAUAAAUUCACUUACAUAUCAUAAAUUGAAAUCGUAAUUUUCUAAAAUUAAUAUCAAUACGUACACGCAACAUGUUCGUAAUAUGGCGCUAUUUUGAUUGCAUUUACUAUUACAAGGUGUUAAGUUAGGACUCCCCCUCUAAGCAUUCAUGAGGCAUGUAAAUAAUACCAUAACUUUCACGUACACAUUUGAAUUGUGCUUUUAAGUAAAUAAGAAAUCAAUACGCUCACCUACUUUUAAUUACAUACUUGUACUAAUCAAAAUAAGCUUUAUUCCUUCCAUACCGAAAAGUUGGAAGCUUAAACCUUCCAUCUCGCAAUUGUUAUAUUGAAAAACAUACGUACAAAUACUUGCAACUUUUUUUUCAAAAUUUUCAAAUAGUUUAAACUUUAAAACAUGUUAUCAAACACCAUCAACAUGUUAGUCAAACUCAUUUUAAUUAGAAGAAAACACGAUAAUCCAUCAUUCAUAUAGUCCAAACAACACUCAAUAAAAUCAACGUCACAUGACAAAUUCUCUUCAUUAUCCUUUGAACGAUACAUUGAUAAAAUUCCCUCGUAAGUCCAACCCGUAAUCAUUAUAAAACAUGCAUUUGAAAAUAUUUAUACAAUAUAACAAAAUUUCAUAUCGUGUCGAUGAUAGAUAAAUUUCUAUUGGUAGUUUUCAAACUUAACGUUGAAAAACUAACUUUACUCUUUAACAAACCAAAGUAUCCAACGUCCUCUCGAGUAUCAAAUUUGUACAUAAAUGGAUACCAAUUAUCAUGCCAUCAAUAAUGUCCUAAAAUAACUAAAGUUGGCAGUUGAUCAAAUCCCAAUUUGAUAGAAUUAUUGAAGGUUAAUUUUGUCUUUUACUCUUAACUUUUCUUAAUGUUUAUAGUGUCUAAUGGUAUUCUUUAACCGUCUUACAAUUUUUAUGUACUGAAGACAACCCUCUUACCCUACAACAUUUGAGUGUCAAGAAAAUUUUUUCUAAUCCUACAACAUUUGGAUGUCAAGAAAACUUUUAGAAAACCGCUUCCUACCAAGGGUGAAAUCGAGUUGGAUUGGGAGACAUUCUCAACCCAACCCAUAUUUUCGGGUUAUUUUGGUUGACAACCUAAAUAACCCAAAUUUAGUUUCUAACCCAACCAAACCCAUAAAAUAUAGGUUGGGUUGGGUUGUCUGGUUGUAUUUUUUUGUUUUUCGUUUCUAAUUUCUAAUUAUUAUAAAAGAUCAAAAUUGUUACGCUUAAAUUUCAAACAUACAUAAUUCAAAAUUUAUAUACCUAAUUUUUUAACGAUUUUUUUUAAACGCAAUUCAAUCCAUAUUUUAACCUAACCCAACACAACCCUUAUAAUAUGGGUUGAGCAGUCCGUGUGCUAUUCGGAUUCAACCCAAAUUAGUCCGUACACUAUUCGGGUUCAACCCAUAUUCUUACCCCUACUUCAUUCGUACAUAUGUGGCCAACAUGGAUUGCACCAAGAAAGACCAUAAAAUGAGGAGAGUUCAAGCAACUCUUAACCUAAUUCUAACUAUAUAUUCCAAACUUGUUGCCACUCGCAGAUGACUCUCCCAACAUAAAAGAUAAAAAAACCUUUGUCAAAGCAAAAAAAUGUGACUGAUAUCUCUUUAAAAUAUAAAAAUAAAAAUAAUUGGAAACUUAAGAAAGACAUUGGAGCUUUUUUUAGAAAAAUAAUAAUAGAAAUAAUCUAUUUUUUUUAGCACUAAUCAGCAUCCCAAAAACUUGUAUUCCUGCUAAGAGGAAAACAAAAGGGCAAUGAUGUGUAUAGAAUAAUAAAGCAAAAGUUAAGGAAGAGAGAGAGAGAGAGAGAGCAGAGCAGAUUCCAAGUUAUCAACAUGGUGAACUCAACUGUAUGUAUUGAUGAUGAAAGUAAAUGAAAGAAUACCAAACAAAGAACAAUUGCCUGACAGCCACCAAACUUUAAACAAUAAACAGUAACAGUCCAUAUUUUCCUUGUGUUUUUCUACUGCUCCCCACAAGCCCACCUGUUGGAAUAUAAGGCACAACUGAACGCUAAUCAAAAGAACACCACCAACUUCAGCAAAUGCCCCGACCCUUGCCUUUUAUUUUUUUACAAUCUUCAUCCCUUCACCCUGUAUUGAAUGCUUCAGAAACACAAAAUUAGAGAAUGUGUUUUUCCAUAGCAAAGAAUUCAAGCCAGAAACACAGACACCCCGCAGCGCACUCACUAGAAAACAAAUGGAAAAGUAAAAUAAAUUUUGUACUUCCAAAUGAAACAUUAUGAGGGUUACCAAGCAAGUGUUUACCCUUGUGUCUUACGUUCAGAGUCUACACUGUGUCAAAAGCUUGAGAUAUCAUUUUAAUGCUCACAAUACAAUAAAAAGGAUUUUUUAUAAAUCAUGAGAAACUUCAAAGAACAGGCAUGUCGAAGAAAACAUCAACUAUGAAAAUGCCCUACCCUUUGCAUAAACAAGCAAUCAUCUAAAGACAAUGUCAGUUUGGGUUCAGAAGAACACAUAGCAACUUUUAUUAUAAUGGUCGUAUGUCAAGAACUUUAAAGAGAGACGAGGAACCGAGGAAGUGUAGAUAAGAACCUACAUUAGAAUGUCACAUGAUUCUUUUGCUAAUUAUAAGAAGCUUCAUAAGGAGAUACAAAAUGUUCAAAAGUAAUAGCCAUGAUCACCAAUACGUUCUAACAAGAGAAUUUCAUCUCUAGGAAUAGUAACCAAGGAGUGAACAUAUCAACGUAUAAGCAACCAAUGUCAUAAGAUGUAUUUGAAAGGAUGUGGGGAUAAGUGGAUAAUAAUGAACAUAUACAUGUUGUGCGGGGACUUAGACAUUGUGAUAGUAAACAUGUGGAAGUUAAAGUUUAAUGCUCAUAAUUUCUAUCAUGACAAUAGUGUAGCUUCCUUUGGAUGUAUGAUUAACAUGACCGAAAGGAUUCCAAUAGAAUGCUUUCUCCUUAAUACUAAAAAUCCUACAUAAUCGUAAAAAGGAUGGACAAGUACAUCAUGAAUGACAAGCCAAAAGAAUGACAGCAAAUGCUCACAACCCUCUUAAUCAAAUGGUAUUAUUUGCUAAUUGAGUCUCAUUUGCAUCAUUAAAGAUUAAGAAAUAAAGAAAAAUUGCAUGGAAAGUUAGACCAUUAGAGAACUGUAAGCUCGGACAUGCAGAGUAAAUGGGUAAAUUAGUGUCCAUGAAUGAAUAUCGGACAUGCAGAGGAAAUGGAGAAUUGUAAGCUCGACAUAUUACACAAAAAAUCAAAACAGUGAAACAUAUACUUCGAAUAGAUAUAGAUAUAAAUUGAGUCAGCAGAGAAAAUAUGCGCUACACAUUGACGUAGAAACCACAACUACACCUGCAUAAUUUCACAGUUCUUAGAUUAGUGAAGUUUUAAUUAAAUUAGUUAAGCCGGAGAAAGAAAACACGUUAGGAUAGUUAAGCCGGGACAUAGGUCAGAUUUAUGUUAAUGGCAAUGAAAAAAGAGAGGAACGACUGGGGAAAAGGCAUUGGAGCUUUAAAUUAUUUUUAUACUACAAUAACAAAAUACAACAUUUUAAAAAGGAAGAGUCUUACAUUAAGAAUAACAUCCAAGAGCCUUACUAACUAGCUUUGACCUUAUCAUCGGCCACAGCAUUAAGUAUUGGCAGACUACUCAAAAAUUCAUCAAGGCCCUCAAAGAACCCAAUUCCUUCAAUGUUAUCCUCCCCAUGUUCUCCACUUACGCCUGUGGCGGGUUCUUCCACCUCAUUGCUGAAUUCCACAUUCAAAUCUAACUUACCUAGUUCCUUUGGCCCUUUCCCUUUAUGCUUCUUCCCAGUACCCCCUACGGCUGCCACAGCCUUCUUACUGGGCUCAGCCUUUGUAGAGUUUGACAAACCGAACCUCACCAACCCAUUUUGUUCUCCAAACUGCCCAUUCAUAUUCACAACUUCAUCUGUGGUUCCAUUCCCUACAUUUCCUGUGUUCCCUUUCAGUGAGCUCUCAGAAUGUGCUCUCUUAUCAAUUCUACUACCCAAACCUCUCUUAGGCUUCUUCUUCUUACUUAUCCUUCCCCACUCUUCAUCAGAACUGUCACUUGGUUCUGAAACUUCGACAUAAAUAUCAUCCUCUUCACAAAAAAAUUUUGGUGUAGAUUUCUUGAUCGGUUUAACAUUUCUAGUUUUCCCCGACUUUAUUCCCACCUUACCAGGCAAAGGACAGGAAAACAUAGCUGAAAAGGGCGACCAGGCUACAGAUCCCACUGCACCUUUAGCAUUGGGAGAAACCCCAAGUGGGAAAAACCCCCAGCAGCAGAAGGUAGAAGCACUAUCAGCUACCGGCGGUGAAGGAAUAACAAGUGCUUGAAAUGCCUUGGAACAAUUCUGGCACCUAAGCACACAAUCCUCGUAACCCUUUGGGUAUUCAUACAGAUUAUAACAAUAUGGACAAGCUGUCCAGAAACUCGGAAUGUUCGACUCAGUCGGCAAAGUGGACUCAGUCGGUAAAGUAGACUCUGCCUCCCGUGAGGGAGGAUUUGAGUCAAUGUGCUGCUGAGUAGCUUCCGGAGUUGACUCAUUGACAUCACUGACAUUUGGCCUCUCUUCCUCUACGGUUACUUUAGCAUUCAUCGAUUUGGGGGUUUUUCUUACAAAGUGCUGCUGCUGCGGAUCUUCCUGCUGCUGUGGCCGGUGAGGAGACAGUUGAGUAGGUGGUGGCUGCGGAGGCUGCGCCGGUGGUUGUGGCGGUGGCGGUGGCGGCUGCUGGCGUUCCGGCGGUGGUGGUGGCGGUGGCCGUUCCUGAUGCUGAGGCUCCUCUACCGUCAUCCUAGUCUCCUUCCUCGGACUAGUUCUAACCGGCUGCGGAAAUUGUGGCUGCUGCGGCGGGGACUUGGGUUUUUGACUCGACCCAGUCGUUCCAGGGCUAAACUUGUUGGAGCACAUAAGAUAAUCAUUAUCAUACAACGCUUUUCUCAACGGAUUCGAAAGCACACACCAUGCAUCAGACACAAGCCUAAAAGCGUGAUCCGCAAAAGCCACUCUAUUGGCCUCCGGGUGAAGAAGAAGCGCUAGUCGUCGAUACUGAGUAGCAAUUAGCUCAAUGCUCUGAGUCGGCUGUGAAAUUUGCAAAAUACUGUACCAGUCGUACUGAUUGUUGAUCCGCCCCUCCGCCGCCAGCAGUGUAUCCGCUACAGCAAUUACCCUAUCCGCUGCCUCCAGCACUAUCGGGUCCGAUUCCCUAGCCCGGAUCGCAAAGCUCCUAGUUCCAUAAAAAUCACGCGCCGCCAGAAGCUUCUCCGCUAUGCUCAACCACCGCAACGCCUCCGCCCUAUUCCCCCCACCGCCGUUGUGGUCCAUUUUCCGACCUCACUCUCCCCCUCUCUCUCUCUUUCACUCUCUCUCUCCCCUCCAAGCUCCAGCUCUCUCCCCCUCUCUCUCUCUCUCUCUCUCUCUCUCUCCUCCCAGUUUCCACUGAUCUGGUCCUCUGUUCUCCACUGUAAUCAAGACAAAAGAGCUAAGGCCUUUGGGUUUGUGAAAUGACCAAAAAACACAGGAAUCUCCCAUCAAUUACUAACCCAUUUCGUCCACGCUUGGUAGGUUUGAAAGGGUACUUUAGUCUUUGUACAAACAUCCAAAAAUAAUUCCCUCUUCCCUCUUCGUCAUUGUCACAGUUCUUGAGAUGAAAAUGUCUGAGAUGUUGGAGUUAUGGAAGAAAUAUCAAAUUUUACUGUCCUAACCUUUCCUUUUUUACUUUCUCUCUUUAAUUUACCCCUCGGAUGAAUAAUUCUUUAGAUUAACUUUGAAACUCUGAUGUAAACUCCAUUCCUCCACGUGUCAGAUAACGCUAAGAUUACAUCACGUGAUCCACGCUACACGUGCGCCACGAUUUUACAACUUUCGUAAUUUCUGCUCAAAAUGGAAAAACAUACAAAAAUAAAAUAUCAUUAUAAUUUUUUUUAAAUUAAAACAAUUGAUUUUUUUAAUUAACUUUUGUUAAACCUUGAAAUUAAUUGGGUAAGGUGGCUCACAUUUAUAACUCAAAUUGAGUUUUGAAUUAAUUUCACAUUGUGAUAUAAUUAUUAAAGAAAGAAAAAAGAAAACUUUUGUUGGGAUAAGUAAAUAUUUUGCUAUUUUGUUGUUAUUAUUGGAUCUUCCUCCUCAACAAGCAAGGUGUGAAGUCAAAAACAAGAUUUUUUACUUGAAUGUGGAAAGUAAUGCAAGGUUAUAUAAUCUUCUCUUUGUUUGUGUUAAAAUUUAAUGCAUAAGGUAACAUUGGGGGGUUAAUUCGUAUAUAGAAUGUAUAUGUAUAAGUGUGUCGAGUUGAGAGUUAAGUAGUAUUAUAAUAGACUUAUUUUACCUUUGAAAGUUAUCAUAUUUAUUAUAGAUGUGUAGUUGACUUAGAUUAUUGUCGAUAGGGUCUUCAUUGCUAGGUUAAGAUAGUUCAUCCACUCCUUGAGUUGGCAUGUGGGGUGUGCCUUUAUCGAUCAUCAUUCCACUCCAACUUUCUCUCUUCUUACUUCAAAUCUAAAAGAGUUUCAAAACUAGAAAAAGAAAAAAACUUUGGAAGGCUCUCCUGCUGCACUAGAACAAUUAGCGAUAAUAUCAAUGGUAAAAGGAUCCGAAGAAGUAGCAAGCUAAAACAAGAAAAACAAGCAAGCAAGAAGGGCGAAAAUUUAUUUUGAAAAAUGUUUACUAAAUCAACCAAAAAAGUUAGAAAUUUUGAUUUUGAGAAAUCUAGUUAAAAUCUCAUUUUUGCAUCAUUUCCAAACCAUUCAUACAAAUGUCUCUAUUGGGUGAACAUUAGUCGAUCAAAUUCGGUUUUUCAACCAAACCAAUUAUGGCCAGUUUAGUAAAUAUUUAAAUCGAUCUCGACUCAUUCAUUUGGUCUAUCAUGCCCAACCCUACCUAAUUAUUUGGGGUUUGUUUGAAAAUAGUUUUGUUUCUAGUUCUAUAUUUUUUAAAUCCAAUCUUAUUUUCUCCAAAUAUUAUUUUAAUAAAGGUUUUCAAUUUUUUUAAACAAACGCUUGAGCAAUAACUCAAUUAUCAAUUACAAAUUGUCACGUCAUUUAUCACAUUAUCAACUAAAAAUACAAAUAAUUAAAUUAAAAAUUGACAUAUGUCCCAAAAUAAAAUUGAAAACCUAAAUUAACAUGAUGUCACGAUUUUUCAUUAGAUUUUACAAUAUAUUUUCUUUCUUUGUACAAAUUAAAAUUUACAAUCCAAUAUAAUUAGAAGGGAAAAAUAGUUUUAUUAGCCAAAUGAACUUAGAGAAUGCCUCGAGAGAGAAAAAUACAAAAAGAAAAAAAAAAAAACCACCUCAUAUGAAAAAAUUCACUUUUUAAGAUGUCAGAAUCAUUUUAUUCUAACUUAUAAGGUAACGCCAAAGCAACAAAUGAGAACACUCACACACUUAUUUCAAAUCUCAUGGAUGAGCUCCAAAACCUACUAAAAUUAAAUGAAGUAAUCCAAAUUUAGAUGAAUCCAAUAAUAUAGUUCAAAUAAAACGAAACAAUUAAUGAAAAUUAAUACAAUAAAUGAUAAGGGGUUUGUUUUUAUUUUAAUUAGUUCUACCCUUCUUAAAUUAGAAAGGCAACAAAAGAGUCCAUAAAUGUUGUAAGAAUUGUAGUAUUAAAAUGGAUUGAAAAUAAUACACAAAGGUGAUAGUGAUAAUUAUGGGCAAAGAGAAAAGGAAAAAGUUUAUAAGUAGAGAAAAGGUGAAAGGCGUCAAGUCUGAAUAAAUGCUUGACCUUUAUAUUAUCCCAAAAAGUGAAAAGAAAAGAAAGGGAAGAAAGAAAUCAAAUAAAAUGUAUAUAUAUAUAUAUAUAUAUAUAUGGCUUUUUUAUGGUCUUUUAGGGCAUGAUUUAAAUGCCUAAUAAAUUACUCAAUUUUUAAUCUCUCCUCUCCUUCACAAUAAAGCAAAUUUCCCUAUUUUCAUUUAAUUGAUUUUCUCUUUUGCUUAUCCCACUAUUUUUUAAUUUUAGAAGCGUUUGGAGUAAAAAGUGACUUGUAAUAGUUUGACAAUUAUAAUAGUUUGUGUUUGAUUUGUUGUCAGACUUGAGGAGAGUAGAAUGAACUAUUUUAACGCAACUUCACGAUUGAGGCAUGAGAAAUAGAGUUAUUUUCCUCUCCCAAUUUUACGCUGAAAUCUCAUUCUCUUGACGAGGUGCAUCUCGGAACCAAUGAUUUUUUUUUUCUUGGGGUCAAUCUCGACUGAGAUCGACCUUGAGAUUCUUCCCAAAUUUAAAAAACUCCUUAAAGAAAAUUUCUCAGUCUCUCUCGAUACUUCUUGGGGCAACCUUAGUCUGAGAUCAUACUACAUAAUAUUUUUCUUUAGUUCGGGGCUAUCUCGUUGAAUGCUUAUGUUCUUUAGUUUGGGGCUAUAUCGGGACAACUUUGAUCCGAGAUCAUUGAUAUAAUUGCUUUUGCUUUUCAGCUCAGUGCAUCUCGAGACCAUGAUGGCUCGGGAACAAUUAACCUAAAUGCUUUUGUGUUUCAACAUGUGGACUAUCGUGGGAAAUUUGGCUCGAGAAGAGUUAACCUCAAUUUCAAAUUUUUAAUUCAAAAAUGCAUCAUCUCGAUGACGUACCCAAGCGAGAGGGACCGAGACAUUUACUUCAAGUUUUAAAAAAUUUGGAAAGAAUCUUGAAGUUGAUCUCGACGUAUAAUAAGGGAAGUAAAAUAGUACACUCCACUCGCUUAUGAUCUUUAUUAUAGAGUGUCAUGUAUCAAAUAUCAUUUUCGACAAAUACUACUAUUGGUUGAAAGGAUGAAAGGAUGAAUGCAAAUUGUAAAUGGUAGUUUCAUCAAAUUUUAUUAUAACAAUUUCCAUCCCUUUUUGAAAACCAAUUGAAAUGGAUAUUUAAUUUGUUACUAAAAAAGAAAAAAAGAGAAACGUUUGGGUUUGUUUCAUGAAUUUAGGAGGUCGGUGUUGGUCAUUUGGGCUCCAUUGGGUUGAACUACUUUUUAAGCCUAAUAACACAAAUAACAAUUUUUACUUAUUUCAUUUUAUUAAAUAUAUAUGAGAAAUAAUUAUAUUUAAAUUUUUUAAAAUUAAAUCUAAACGAUUUUUUUUGGAUCAAUCACGAAUAAUUAAAUUUGAAUUAACUAAAAUUCACAUUCACGUCAAUUGAUGAAUCUCGACGAUGCAUGUGUGAUGUGUUUUUAAAUUAAUUACUUUAAUCAAACAUGUUCAUAUUUAAUUUAAUCUAAAUAAAACUAAAUUUUGUUAUCCAACCAAAUCUAAAACUCAUACAAUAAUUAUAUAUCUACAAAGUUUAUAGGAAAACACACUUUAUAAAUAAGAAUUCUACUAUAUACCUAAAAGAAAAUAUAGGAUUCAGAGAUUAAACCACGUUCGCAUCAAAUCUAAUCAAUUAUCCACAUCAAAUAUAUUUAAUGCAAGUGUCUAUAUUGAAGUGUCUUCUACAUGGGACCUCAUUUAAACCUUUGUUCAAUAACUCUCCUCCUACUUCUAGUCGAUCAGAGAGAGUAGAGAAAGAGUAAUCACAUGUAACCUUAAAAAUAGUCUGUCAUGGUAGCCAUAACCGAGAUGCAGAGAAGAAAAUCUGUGGAGGAGCAAGAUGAUCAUAAAAUCACUACCUCGAGUGAUCAAAUGCAAGCAGUAGUAGUCAAGUCAAACAACCUCCAACCAACCAUAAAGAGAUCAACAUCCAAGUUUUUUACUACUAAAUCCCAAACACACACACACAUUAAUUCAAACUCUAACUUAACCUUGGCGUAAACACCCUCAUCAAUCUUUUGAAGAUUGAGCAGAGAAGGAGGCCAUGCACUCCCAUGGCAGUCGCACUGAAAGAGGUUUGUGGCAUCAGAGGUUAGGCUGCUUCUGAUGAAGGUGAAAAGUAAGGGUGGGCUUGGAGGCCCAGUAAAUGAAUAAGAAGAGAGGCCCAGAGCCAGAAUUAGAGGAUCUGAUCUGAUUGAGAGAGAGAGUUAAGAAUAGAAAAGAGAGCGGGAAUUACGAGAAAAUAAGAUAAAAUGGGAGUAGUCAGAUGGUGGGGGGAGUGGUGAGACACGACGGGUACGAGGGUACAAAGCUUUGACAGUGAUACAUCACCCCCCCCCCCCCCCCCCCCCCCCCCCCCCCCCUCGUACGGCCCCCACAUCGAUAUUCACCACUUUCCCCCCAAAUUCAAUAUCUAUUCUUUCUCAUCAACUCUAUCUCUUUGUAUAAAUAUACCAUUUUUUUAAUAUAACAAAAUACAUUUUUUUUAACAAAAAAAUAAUAGUGGGUGGCAAGUUAAUUUAGAUAUUUUACAGAAAUAUUUUUAAGGUUUGUAAUUUUGCAAAAACAGUAAAAAUAAUAAAAUCAAGUUGUAUUUUAUUUUUUUGUCAUUUUUGUAAAUAAUAAAGUAGGUUUGUUGUAGAUUUAAUUAUUAUAAUUUGUUUUGUCAUUUUUGCAAGUUGCAAGUGAAAAAAAAACUCAAGAUUCAAUUCUUUUUGUUAUCCAUAAGAAUUUCUCUCGAUUUUCUUUUUAUUCUAUUUUCCUUCCCAACUAUAAUUCUAGUUGUCUCAUAAACUAGAAAUAGAAAGAAACCGUUUGUCGAAUUAAAUCCUAAUAUAAUCACAAUGCAGAUGUUAGGAUUUCCUAAUUUAGUAUUAUCAUAAUACUUGUUUUCGCUCAUUCCUCACACUUUCUCUCUCAUUGAACUUCAAAAUAUUCACAAAUAAAAAUAGAAUAUCGAGCUAAAACGAAAAUUUUAAUACAUCAAUUUUUCAUCUCAAUAUAACUUUUUAUACUGUAAAUUCUAAAAAUUCACUACUAUAAACACUCGGUAUUCAAAAUAUUCCAUAAAUAUCAUUAGUCAAUCAUUCAUCCUCUUAUGGUUGAAAUAGAAAUAGACUUUUUUUCUUCUUCUUUAUAUACCAUCUAACCUCUACUUUAAUUGAGAAGUGUAAUUUUUUUCGUUGAUAAAAAAAAGGAAAUGCUAUGACUUGAACUUGAAGGUUUGAUAUUAAGACUUAAUAGAAAGAAGAAAAACAAAAAUUGAUAUGAUGCAAAGCUUCAAAGUGACAUGACGCACAGUUCUCCAUGCCUACUCGAACUUUGAUAUUUUCUCCUAUUAUUGGAAAGUGCAUACAUUUUCUCUCUCUCUCUUCCUUUAUUUUUAUUUUCAUUUCUCAUAUAUAUAUAUAUUAUAUCCUUAUAUGUGUAUAUGUAUAUAAUUAAUGUUAUUGGUCUCUCUCUCAUUGUGAACAAAUUGGGUAAGUUGAUUUGACUCAAUUUGUUGGCCACUUUAAGCUUCAUUCAACCUUAUUUAUUAUCAUUUUUCAAAUGGGAACGUGUAGUAGUAUUGGCAGUAUGACAUUUGGCUCCAACUCCAAGGCCUUCAAUCACUCAUUUUUGUAAUAUGGGUUUUUCUUCUUUUCCAUAUUGAUUUACAUCGAUUUAAAUAAUAUAAUAUAUACUUUACAUUUUGUAUGAUGUCAUGGUGGAUGAAAAUAAAAUUGCAAACAUCAAAUCUAUCCAUUUCUUAAAUAGUUUGAGCAUGUGUGGAUGCAUUUGUUUAAUCGUUGUGAACUUUAUUACUUUAAACACUCUGAAAUAAUUGUUAGAAUUAAUUAUCAUUAACUUAGUUGCAUGUAUAGAUGGUUGUUUAAGGGAGGUGAUAUUUGUUGGACUCUGAGCUUUAGAGCGAUGAUUAGCAAACUUACGUUAGACACUUCAAGACUUUGUAUUGAAGAAAUAUUUUAAAUAAAUGACAGUUUAUUAUUUAAACCAUGUUUAGUAUUAUAAAGAGUGGUACGUAGCAAAACGAUGGUUAAAAUAACUUUUAUCCCUUACUCCAAACGCUUUUAAGGCUAAUCCACUUAACUCAUUCUAAGUCUUGUGUGUUCUUACUUUUUAAGCUUUUAUUAGAUUCAUCGUUCUAUACAUUUGUUGUUGAAUUUUCUUUUUCAUGAUACCUUGUUGUAUGAUAGAUACCUAUAUUAUAUGCUUUAUUGAUGGACUACAAAAAUAAAAAUAAAAAAUCAAAAGAAACUUACCCAAAUUAAAAUUUUGUUUUUCUCAAAUGAUUUAAUUUGGUCUAUUUUAUAGUUUUAAUUCGUACAUUAAAGUGGGUAUUUUGUUUUUUCGUUGAGAUAAUAACAUUCUCUACAGAAUUACAAUUUUUUUUUAAUUAAAUAUACUUACCAAAUAUAUAAUAAAUAUUUAAUUAAUCUUAACACAUUGUUCAAAAUAAAUUUCUUUUUAAUUCUAAUCAACUUAACCCCAUAAUCUAAUCAUAAAUUAUUCAACAUAUUUAAACCCAAAAUUUAGCUAUGAUAACUUUUAGUAAAAAUAUUAAUAAUACAUUGUUAUUCAAAUUUAAGAAUAUAUUUCUAUAAUUUGGUUUUGACUAAUUUUUCAAUAAUAAUAAUAAAAUAUAAAUUCUAUUUUGAAAUAUUAUUCUAGUUUGCUCUCUAAAUUUCAAAAAAUAUUUUUGAGGUUGAAUUUUAAAAAAAGAAAAGAAAAUACAGUAAAUUGCAAAAUGUAAAUCAUUCUCUCUCUCCACAUUUUUUUAAAAAAAUCAUUAUCUUUCUUUUGAAUUCUUUUUUCAAAAAUCCCUUUUCUUUUUCUAAUUUGGAAUCUCCGAGCAUGAAAAUAAAGUAGAAUCAAAUAAUUACAACCUACAUAGAAAAUAAACUAAAAGAAAUAUUACCUCAAUGAAUGGCAGAAUUGGAUUCAUAUGAAAGAAAAAAAAAAUUAGAAGGAAGAGAAAAAAAAAGGUACUAUGACGAAUAAAAAAUCACUAAGUAUACAAUCAAAAUUGCUUUCGAGUUGUGUUGAUCAUAAAUAGUUAAAACCCUAGAAAUCUAGGGUUAGAUAACAUAUUUGGUAGCCUAUUCUCACUAUUAAUUUAAAAUGACUUGAAUUGGUUGAAUUUAUUUUAAUUUUUGAAGUGAGUCAUAAUAGAUGUUAGAUAGGAAUGAUAAAACCUAUUUUUAAAAUAGUUUUAGACUGAGUUUUAUUUAAUAGAAUUCUAUAAAUAUUAUUUAUAUCAAUAACGAUUAAAAAAACACAGAAAUCAAAAUUUUAAAUCUAAAAUGAUUAGUUAGAUUUUAAAUAAUCGUUUUUGUUUUUAAUAUUGAGCUAAGAAGAUGCAAAUAAUUGUCCACCAGAAAAGAUAAGUAAUUUUCAAAAACCCAUUUUAAUGAUUAAAAUAAAAAUGAAGUUUACAGCUAGUUUUUACUUUUUUUUUCUUUCACAAAAUAAUCUAUGAUAAACAAUACUUUUAUUCUUUAAAAAUUACUUUCAAAGUGAAAUAAACAUAUUAUAAAUAAAUAAUAAAUAAAUAAAUGUUUAAGAAAGUCAUUUCUGUCUCUCCAUUUCUAUAUUAUUUAUUGUUUAUUAUCGAAAGUGAUGUUGCCCUUUCCUUAAUUUUCUUAAAUUCCUCUCUUUUUCUUCUUUUAAUUUCCAUCAAAAUUUCAAAAUAAAUUUUCUGACCCCACAAAAUUAAAAUAAUAUUAAGAAGAAGAAGAAGAAAGAAAAAAAAAAAAGUGAUAUAUACAAGCUGGAAGAUUUCGUCAUCCUUUCCUAACUUUAGAAAAAGGAAGAAAAAAUGAAAAAGAGUAAAACCUUCUAUUUUUGUGGUGCAAAUUGGGUCUACGUUGCACACAAUUAAAUUAAAUUAGAAAACGUGGAAGAAAAGGCAAAUGUAAUAUAUAUAUAUAUAUAUAUAUAUAUAUAUAUAUAUAAUAAAAUUAUUUAUUUAUUAAGUUUCUAAGAAAAAGAAAAAAAGAAAAUGAAAGAACAAUGCAUGGGACCCUCUAAUUGACCAUUAGUUGAUUUUUAAUUAGAUUUUGGGUCAACUAUGGGAUAUUGUUUUCAUAAAUAAUAUAUUCUUUUCUUAAAUUUUGUUUUGGGAUUAUUCUCCUUUCUUUUUUGCUUUUUAUAGAUUAAAAUCAUUACACAUUUUGAACUUUAUUUUUAAUAGUAAAAUAAAUUAAACUAUACUGAAAUGAUAGAAACUGAUCAACUUUUAUCAUUGUCUAUCAAUGUCACUAAUAGAAACAUAAUCUGAAAGUUUUGUUAUAUGUUAUAAAUAUUUUUUAAAAUUUGCUAUUUUUGAUAAAUUUUUUCAUACUUUAUGCUAAAAUCGAGUGUAGUGAACUUUUGACAUUUAACUUUUUUUUUUUUGUCAGAAAGUGUAAAUAGUUUGCAUUUUUAUUAUUGUUUAAUAAACACAUUUUAUCUACUCUACUUUAUGUUAUAGAUAUUUAUUUUAACUAUUAUACUUCUAAAUAAAUAAAUAAAUAAUUAUAAAAAAUAAAACAUGUAACAAAAUAUUUACUCUUUAUAAGAAAAAUAAAGUGCAGUCAGUUUUAUUAGUUUUGUUCUAGAGACAGUAAAUAGUUUGUCAAUUUUAAUAAAUCUUAUAACUUAAAAAUAUUUUAUUAUCUAUUCACGUUUUAAUAAUAAAUUUUAAAAACAUAUAUUUAUGUUAUAUUUCUUUUCUUAAAAAUUAUUGUUAUUACUUGACUCACGUCUAAUCUAAUUUAGGUUUUAUUAAUAGAAAUAUAAAUUUAAUAAAGAUGCACACCAAAUAUUUAUAACCUAUAACAAAAAUUUUAAAUUUCAUCACUGUUAUUCUAUUGUGAUAGAAGCUUAUCAAUAACUAUUAUUGAUAUGAUCUAAAUUUUUGUUAUAACUUUUAAAUAUUUUAAUUUAUUUUAUUAUUUUUAAAAAUGGCCCGUAUAUUUACAUCCAUCGUUAUUAUUCCUAUUUAAAAUUUUCUUCCCACACCUUUCAACUGCUUUAAUUAGCUAUAGUUUGUAUAUUUUUCUUUUCUCACAUAUUUUUCAAUACUAAUUUCCUCUUUAUCCCUUUAUUCCAUUUGCCAAUUUGUAAAAACUACCCCUAAAAUUAAAGCACACAAGUUCUAGCAAGGAAAAUGUAAAGUAAAAAAGAAAAAGAAAACAUUGGAACUUAAAUGUUUUAAACAAUGAUAUAUGUUAGUGUUUGAGUGUAAAGAUAUAUAAUAUGUUUGGGGUUUAAUGCAUACAACAAGAUAAACACUUUGAGAUUUUUGGUUAUAAUUUUGAUUAGGAUGCCUAUUUGUAGAAAACAAAAAGGAAUUAAAGAAAAACAUGUGUAAUAUUACCAAAUGUAUUUGUUGAGAUCAAGGUAAGAAAAUUUUCAACCAUCCAAAGGGGAUCGUAUUUCUUCUUUUUUACAUUUAAAAAUGUGUUGUUUUACUGAGUUUCUUCCCUGUUGUCGGUGUGAAGAUAGAUAAAGACGCGAAAGUCUCUCUAAAGUGAUAAAAUUCUAUUAAUCUUAAUAGAGUUUAUACAGUUAUAGAAUUAUAUCGCUAUCUACUAUUAGUAGAAGUGUCGUAAAGUCCAACAUGAAUAAUUUGGCAACCCAAACUACUAAAUCUUGAUAGAACUAAGUCAUGCACAGCGGAAAAAGAAUCGAAUUUCUACCCUAAUUGCCACAAUUAACAUGUAACCAUAAACUAAUCAAAUUAGGGUUUUAAGAAGUAUUACCUUUGAAGCUUACAAAAGGUUUGAUGUCUUCUUACCAAUUCUACCCGAGACCACCACUAGUACUCAACUGCUAUCCUCUAGACAAAGAACCGGGUUGUGGGACCCAAUUUUGGUGUAGAAAGUAAUGGAGAUAAAAUGAGAUUGGAAGCUUUCUUUUUUCUUUUGUUGAGAUUAUGAAAAUGAUAAAAGAGGCAAAAGUCCUUCAACAUUUGAAAACAUCUCUAUUUAUAGCCUAAUUACAUGCAAAAAUGCAUGCAAUUCAAUUGCCAAAUCUCAACACCUAAUAUUCCACUAACAAUUAGUGGAACUUAGUGGGCUAGGUGUCUAUAUCUCAUAUAGCCACAUAUCCCACUAAGAGUUAGUGGGAUUAUCCAACAAAAUGUUGGAUUUUCCCACUAACUUAGUCCAAGGGUAAAAUGGUCAUUAGAUUUUUCUAGUCAAAAGUCAAACUUUGACUUUUCUAAGUCAAAAGUCAAUAUUUUGACUUUUUACCAUUUUGUCCGUCUUGACUAAUUCCAACCUCCCGAGCAUGAAUCCGCAUUCAUUUUUCCAAAAUUCAAAUCACAUUUGAAUAUAAGGCCGGUCAAAGUUUGACUUUUCAAAGUCAAAAGUCAACAUUUUGACUUUUUACUAUUUUUGACCAAUUCCGAGCUUCUUAGUAUGAAUCCGCAUUCAUACUUAUAGUAUGUAAAACAUAAAGCUCUAUUUCUAAUUAGAAGACCGACGAUUAUAUCACUGUAUAUGUCGGUUUUCCUUUCUUCUCCCUAUUCGAACAAUUCGACUUAUUUCAUCACACUGUUCUAAGUUUAAUCCAUAUGAGCUAGCAGAGGAACCUAAUGGACCUAUAGAUCAUGGGCUCCAACGAUUCAAGAUUAACUAGCUAAACUCUUUUAAACCGAGUUAAUCAACAUUCGUUAACUAACGGGUCAUUCCACUAAAGUCCCGUAGUUGCACUCCCCUCACUAUAGAUAUAUUUGUGUCCAUUUGAUAAAACCAUAAUCAGUAAGUUAAUCCUUCACAGGUUGCUCGUAACCUUGGCUGGGUCAAAAUACCGUUUUACCCCCAAGAUUACAUCUUGCUCCUUAAGUCCCACUAAUCCACUAUUGAACAAUUGGUUUAAGGUUCAACCUAUAAACUUAAUCCCUCUCGGGCCAAUGAGAGGGUGGGGCCCCUUGUUCAAGACUUGGAUUCAGUGCUUAAGAGAGCAACCUAUCUACUAACCCUAAAGCGGGUAGGAGUGAAUUCCAUCUUGUACCCUAUGUUCCCAGCUAUCCACCCGAUCUUACCCCUGAAAUGGGAGGCUUAUUGGGCCAACGCUGAUGAGCUGCCCUCACCUAUGCAGAUCUAAGGAUAAUCUCGUAUGAACAGGAGUUCAUAGUUAACUCAGGAUUAAGACUAAGUUACCUAGGUCAUCAAUAAUUGAGAUAGUCAGUUUUAAACAGUAAACGGUGUUAUAACGUAAAAAUGACUAAUUCAUGGUUCAGUCUUAUGUAAACAUUUUACAUAGGAUGCCCCCACUUUCAUGUCUCUACAUGAACGAUUAGGAUCACAUCGUUUGUACUACAAAGUGGGCCGCAUCCAUAGUCUCUCAAAAUAAGGCGCCCAACCUUUAUUUCAUAUACUAUAGACUAUUUAGGCUAUAUACUCGAACUUGAUCCACGUUUAUGUUUACACAUAAAGUUCAAGUUUAUUCAAAAAAUAGCCUUGGAACUUUGAUUUAUUGGAUUUAAGAUUAUAAUAUUUAAUUUCUCAAUAACAACUUUAUUGAAUAGAAUAUGAUUUACAAACUACGAGUUUUAGGACAAAAAAUUCCAACAAAUCUAUAUUAUAUGGAUUGAGUUUAGUUGGUUUAAAAUAUGAGUAAUUUUUUUCAAGUUGGGUUCGGUCUUGGGGUGUUGGAAAAUACCGGUUCAACCCAACUCAACCUCUAGAAAACUAACAAUCAUACAAGAGAGUAUACAAUUGUUGGGCAGGGAAUGAAAAAAAAAAAAUACAACAUAACCCCAUAUUUUACGAGUUGGGUUGGAUUUAUAAAUUAAUUUGGGUUAUUCGAAUUGUCAAUCCAACCAACCUAAACAUAUGAGUUGAGUUGAGAAUUAAUUUACACUCCUAACUUAUAGAUGACGACAUAUUUCUCAAUGAGAUCUAGUCAUAUUCUUGAUACGAUAAUGGCUAGAGUUAACGAGUUGUAUAACAUGGAGAUGAUAUGAGUAGAAGUAGCAGUUAGAAGUUGUUGAUGGGUGAUGAUUAGAUCAUCGAAGAUAGUAGUCGACAUGAUAUUUACUUCUUCGGGAAGUUUCGAAUAACAAUAAUAAAAAGUAAUCAUAAAAUUAAGAAUAUGAUUGGUAGGUUUAGAGAAUUAAGUUUAUUAAUUAAGGGUUGUGGAGUAAAGUAUGGUUGUGAGCUCGUUUUGCUCGUGUUUUAGAUUGAAAACGCUUCUUCUUCACAUAUCUUUUCAGUUCAUCAGUCAUACAUCAGUCUGCCCCCCACUGCCACCACUGCCACACUCACUUGCUCAUGUUGUACUAACUACAAUACUAAAAUAAUCAACAAGCAACAUAACAUUUCUAAAAUAACUAUUUAAUUUCCUCUACUUUUUCACCUUUUUUCUUCUUAUUCCUUUCAUUGUUAAUAUGUGUUUUUAAAUCAUCCUACAUCUCUCUUCACCCAUCAACUUGAAUUCUUGGAUCAACCGACGAUUAUAUAUUUACGAUGGUUUUAGAACAAGAGCGAUACAGAGUGACGUCAUGUGUUCAAACUCUUGUAUUUUAAUAUUGGUAUUUGUAUAUAUUCUUACGUUAUAAUCUUAGCUAAACAUUUUAUGAGAAUGAACUAGGUUUUAUAAUUAGGAAUUAAAUUAAAAUAAAUUAUUUUCUAAAAAGGAAAGAAUUAGAAAAUGAAUGUGAAACUUAAAACAUUAGAGUUAAUGUGAUUGCUUAAUUAUAUGCAAUGUGUGUAUAGAUAUAUAGAUAUUGUGUAUGUUAGGUUGCCAAUUAAUUAGCCUUCAAUUUGUGUUUGAAUUAUGCUUGUGAAUUAAAGUAAAGGUUAAAUUAAAUGUUUAGUUUUGUAAGCUUUCAAGUUUUUUUUUUAAAAAAAUUAUUUAUGCAUACAAUUAACCAUCCAUGAUAAAAGAUUUAUCUAGGGAAAGUUUUUUUAAAAAAUGUAAAAGGUGAGAAUCGACACUUAGAAUAAGGUUUACUGGAAGAAGAGUUAUAUUCUCGUGGUUUUCAUAUUCGCACGAGCAUAAAAUUAUAUGAAAAACUUUUGUACAGUACUAUUUAGAUAUCAUAUAUUCUCUUUCUGUUCACAAUAUACAUAUACUUAUCGUUAUCAUUAUAGACGGAGGAGAGUACUAUAAAUUAUUUAAACUAUUUGGUACCCUUUCAACAAUACGAGUUUCUGUUCAUUUUCUUCUUCUCCUUAUUUAUUAUUCUUUUUCUUAAUAUCCAUAUUUUUUAGUAGAAAAAAAUUAAAAUUCCUUAAACUACUAUAAAAUCUUUUAUUUUAUUUUUUAUUUUUAUUUUUUUAGCCUAAUUCCUCCAUAACAUGAUAUAUUUCUUAUUAGUGGAUUAAAUUCAUACAUCAAUUUGUAAAAUUAAUACUAUAAGAAAUACAAAGUUAUUUAAUUAUGCAUUAUAGCAUAGGUUAAUAAUAGUUCAUGUAUGCUAAACUUUAAUCCAUCAUUUAUCAAUUUAAAUGUUGUUUAGAUAUUAUUCCUUUUAUUAUUGCUAUUUCAUUUUCUACUAAGUUGAAACAUUAACUCAUUAAUUCUUUUACCCUCUUAAUCUUUUUAUUAAAUAUUUAUAGGCAAAUCUCUCAUUAUGUGGGAUAUAUAUAUAUAAAUCUAUUUUACCACUUUACCAUUUUUCUAUAUUUUGAAAGUACUUCCUAACAUUUUGUUAAAAAAAAUAGUAACACAAUCAAGAUGUUUAGAGUUCAUACAAACAUAAUACAUGAAGUACUGAAAGUAUUAUAUAACAAAUCGAACUAAAAUAUUUAAAAAUAUAUAAUAUGCGGUAGACUAACGUUUAUGUUACUGAUAGACAUAAAUAGUAGUCUAUUACAGUCUGAUACUGAUACACGGUGACAUUUUGCUAGAUUUGUAAAUUUUUUUUUUUAUAUAUAGUUUUUUUCAUUUUAAAAAGAAAAUGAUAAGAUAUUAUGGAAAAGAUAUUUACGAAAAAAAAAGAAGAAGAAUUGGAAAUGUAAAAUGAGUUAUUGCGUCAUAUAUUGAAUAUAUUUGGGAUUGGUAAGAGAUGAUAAAGUGAAAGAGAGAAUACAAUAAAAAGAUUUAGUAAUAGACAGAAUUAGAUCUUCUGCCCCACCUUUGAGAAUCAGCAUUCAAACGAAUUUUGACUCCAUUUUUAAACCCUUUUCCUCUUGCCCCACUCUUUAAAAGCCUAAACCUAAGAAAGAAAGAAAAAAAAAACCAAUAAUUCAAUUCAAUUAAAACGUUUAGUUCCUCUCGUUCUUUGAAACGGUUUACUAAUCAUUUCAUUUGUUAUUUACUCUUUAUAAAAAUAGUUUUUAAAAACUUGUUUUUGUUUUUGAAAUUUGACUCAUGAUUUGAUCAUUGUAUUUAAGAAAAGAUACAUAUUGUUGUAAGAAACGUGGAGGAAAUAGACUUGAUUUUCAAAAACCAAAAACUAAAUACUCACCCAAAGUUAAAUUUUACGAAUUAAAUAACAUAGUUUUUAAGUACUUGUUCUUGUUUUUAGAAUUGAAUUCAACUCUUACACUUAAAAAAUAUACAUGAAAUUGAAAGAAAACAAACUUAAUUAAUUUUUCAAAACCAAAUAUUUCCCUUAAGGAGCCUUUAAUUAUAUAUUAAGUUUUUUAUUUUAUUUGUGUUGGUAUGCUUUGAAUCUAUUAAAUGCUUCAGACGAUCAAGUGUGGGAAUGUCGUUGACCAGUGAAUAAGUUGGGGUCCAAAGAUGGCUUGUCUCGAUGAGAGUUAGAGGACAACGACUCCUUAAACCUAAGAGAAAAUAUAAAUGAUAACAUAUUAUAAAAACCUUAGGUUUAAAUUUUUUUAAAAACUAAAUUAUAUUAGUCUCUAACUUUAGAAGUGCCACUAUAUUUUAUACGUUCUCUCUAGUAAAGUUCUUCUAUUAUGUGAAUGUAGUUAGCACGCUCUUAGUGAACUAAUUAUAUAUGUAAAUUUGUUUGUUAAUCCUUCUCUAGAGUACAUUUUUAUGUAUUAUAUCAUAAUAUUUGAUAUUCUGUAUCGGAAUUGAUAUGAUAUCUUACCUAUAAUAUGGUAAAUGACCCUUUAUAUAUGGUUAGCACUAAUAAUUUUAAACCCAAACCAAAAUUAUACGUGCGAACAACGUGUGUGGAAAAAAAUAAACAAAAUGUAGAUAUAGAAUACGUUUUCAAUUUAAUUAGAAAUUACAAAAACAAACUCUCAAUUAUGAUUGUGGUAGUAAUUAUACUUUAAAACUUUCAUAGGUAAUUCAUAAUAUUAAAUAUAAUCCUCAAACUUACAAUAGUUAUAAAAAUUGAACUCUCCCCGACGAUAAAAAUCGAACCCUCCAACUAAUACAUAAUUAAUUCUUAAGAUUUUUACAAUUUAAAUGUAAGAGUAUCGGAUUCAACCCUACUGAUUGGUUACUAACUAUAGGAUGGAUGUUUACAACAUUGUGAAAGAAGCUAAGUGGAAAGUUAGAUGAAAUUCAUUCAUGAAAGAUUGAAACAAUCAAAUUGUAUGCCCUUUUAUUUAAACAAGCUCUAUUCUAGUUUGAUCAAAUAAGUUAGUUUGACAAAUAAGUUAAUUAUAUCAGUUCACAAAUUUUAGUUCCCCACUACAUCUAAGAUGCUAUUUGAAUCAUGAUCGACGUUAAAAUAUCGAUUGACUAAAAAGUUUAGGUUUAUACAAUCUUGCAAUUCAUACUAUCCUACUUUAAUACCAUGUUCGAUCCAUGGAUCGUGAAAAAUGAUAGUAAACCUCUCUCAGACAUACAUUGCAAACUUACCUCUAUUUAAAAAUGAUUAGGAGGAUCGAUCUUUGAUCGUUGUGCUACGUAUGAGUCAAACUUCCAUGUGAAAAAAAAUAGGGCACAUUUAUUUAUUUUGUAGGAUUUGAAUUUAAUUUAUAUUUCACCUUUAGGUUUUAAAAUGUUUUAAAGUGAAAUCUAGAUAUAAGAAAAAAAAGUAGACCAGGAAUUUAGAAGACUAAAAGAGAUUUUAUAUACUGAUUUUAAAUAUUAUUGUAUGAAUGUUUGUUAUUAUUAUUAUUUUUUUUGUCUUCUCAAGUUUUUUCAAUUUCAAUUAUAAGUAAUCUAAGUAAAAAUAGAUUAAGCCUUCUUAGAGUUCAACUUUAAACAACAAUGUGAUCUAUCUAAAAUCACAUUAUCUAAUAUAGUGUUCCUAAACUCGGAUGACGAACUCAUUAAGAACUAGAAAGCUAUAAGUUAGAAAAAGCUUUAAUCGGAAUAACUACGAGAAAAUGAGUCAAACAAAAAAUAGAAGCGAUAAGCAAUAUAUUAGAUCUAGAUUGGAACAAUGGUGAAAAAUAUAAUAAAAAACUGCUUGAUAUAUAUGCAUGUAUCUUAAUAUUUCAAAAUUAAUCGAUAACGAAGUAGGGUUGAUGAAGAUCUAUGCGAUCACACUGAUCCAAUUGGAGUGAAGAAUUUCUAAUUUAAUCGAGGAUAGAAGUCAAAUCAAAGAUACAAAAAAGAUUCCUAGUCGAGGACAGAGAGGGCAUCCCCACCUCAUCUCCGUCCCCAACCCCGCUCAUAUUUUUUAAAAUUUAUUUCUAAUAUUUAUAUGUAAAAUCUAUUUAUUAUAUUUUCCUUUUUAAUUUCAUCUCACAAUUACACUAUUAUUUUUAACUUAUAAUCAAAUUCACGGCAAUAAAUAAACAAACAAACAAUUAUGUAUAUCAUUCUCAAUAAUUAUUUGAAGCUCUCUCAAUUAUAAAAUUAUUUUCAACUAUAGAAAAAUAGACUAAAGUAUUUAUAAUUAUAACUAUAUAUCCCGAUUACUUGUGGUGGACACUGUUUGUAUCAAUCAUGACAUAGAUAAACAAAAAUAUAAUAGCUAUUAUGUUCUAUUUGCAACUAUUCUCGACCGUUUUAGCAAUAGACGAGAUGUUCAUCUAAAUCUAUUAGGAUAAAAAAUAAAAUUUUGUCAUAUUUAUAAAUAUUGUCUUUAACAAUUUUGUCGUUUAAAACAACUUUUCGACUAGGAAUGAAAGAAGAAAGAAAAAGGAAAUGAUAAAUUGCCAACUGUAUGUGUGAGGGAGUUGAUAGAAUGAGGCAGACAUGGAUGCCUUUUUCAUCAAUCGUUACCCAAUCGGCGACAAACACAACAACAUGUAAAACCAAAGUUCUUUUGUGGGAAUUGCUUAACCACAAAAAAAGACUCAAACAUGGCAAAAACGAGUAAAAAGAAAUUAUAUAAAAUAUAAGUAAGAAGAACAUUAAAUAUCUUUAAAUCAGAGCCUUCCUUUUUUCCCUUUUUUUUUUUGCUUCUCUUAUUUCUCUCUCUUCAAUCCAUUGGAGGACUUUCCAAAUAAUGGUAUCUUGUCUGCAACCCCUCUUCAAGCUCUGUCAGUAAUAAACCUCAAAAGCUACCAAUACAAAUUUAAACCCAACAUCAGAUAAGGAAAAAGAAAAAAAGAAAAAACCCAUUGAAGAAACAGAUCUUCCAUUGUAGUAAUGUUCUAAGCUCUCUCUCUCUCUCUCUCUCUCUCUCUCUUUCUCUCUUAAUUUUCCUUUGCAAAAAACAACUUUUUUUCGUCAAAUCUUUGGUGGGUUUUUGUUAUUUUGGUUGAAUUUCUCUUUCAUCAUCCAUUUCUUUCCAUCGGUAAGAGAAAAAUCAUAUUGAUUUCUCUCUUUCAUUUGCAUUUUGCUAUUAGUGGAUGGUCUUUUGUUUGUCUUAAACAAAGAAACCAGAUUGUAGAUUUUUGUCAUUGUUUUUCUCUCUCCCUUUAAAGCUUGGGGUUUUGUUUCGAUUUUCAUCCGUACUAAAUUCAAGAUCCAUUAUCUGUGAGAAAAUAAGAAGAAUGAAAAAACCCCCAUUAUUAUUUUCUUAAAGAUCAAUUCCGUUUCUUUUCUUUUUAAUUAAUUCUUCUUCUUUUUUCUUUUUUGAAUUUGAAAGAAGUGAAGAUCAUGACAAGGAAGAAAAUUCAGAUCAAGAAGAUUGACAACAUAGCUGCAAGACAAGUAGCAUUUUCCAAGAGAAGAAAAGGGCUUUUCAAGAAGGCUAAAGAACUUGCAAUUCUCUGUGAUGCUGAGAUUGGCCUUCUUGUUUUUUCUGCUUCUGGGAAGCUCUUUGAUUAUGCAAGUUCAAGGUUUUUCUUCUCUCACUCUUAAAAAUUUCAUUCUAUUCUUGUUUCUUGCAUCAUGAGAGAGAGAGAGAGAGAGAAGAGAGAGAAUCUUAGCUUCAAACCACACACACACAAAAAAAAAAAAAAAAAACUUUAAAAUCAAUUAAAAUAAUUCUGAAGAAGCCAAGUACACCAAUCCUAGUCAAAAGAGACCAUAUGAGUGCAAUCUGAGAUGUAGGCUAGUUGGGAUUUGAAAGCCUUUUUAUAUAGGAAUUUUCACCCCAUAAAAUAUAGGGUAGAUUUGUUCUGGUAGAUUAUUGAGUUCUCUGAAGAUGUGAGUUUUGAGGUUAAAUUUCAUGAAAGUUCAGUAUAAGAUUGGGAGAGGAAUUAGUUUGGAAGUUUAGAGAAAUGGAUUUGGUCCAAAAGUCGAAUAAUUAAUACACACAUUGGGUUCUCUUGGAAGAUGGAAAAUUUGUUUAUAUGUUCAUGUUAUGUAUGAGUUUAAGUACAAUUUUCAACACUAUUCAUUCACAUUUUGUGAUUGUUUGCAUUGAUCAUUUUUCUGCUAUAUACAUAAAACAUCAUAUAUACAUUGUCUGAUAAAAGAAUGCCUUUCCUGUAAGAUUUGAAAUGAAAAGAAGAGAGCAGAGAAAAAUACAUAAACAUAGGUUGGGAUGGGAAAAUUGGAAAGAAAUGGAUUUAAAUUAUCAAAGAAUAUUAAUAAUAAUAACAAUAAAAAAGAAGCUUUUAUGGUACAUUAUUACAAAAAAGCUUUUAUUGAAAAUUUUGGAACCUAUGUAAGCUUUAUUGAUCAAAGAUAGAUUUUCAAGUAUAAGGUUUCAAACAAAAAAAAAAAUUUGUUUGUAGUCCUCAUCUUUUUAGAGAAUUCAGUACAUAUAGGCCUCAAAAAGUGGCAUUUUGCAUGAUGGGUUUUCUUAUUAAUUAUCUCUUAAAAUUUGGAAUAGGCAGAAGGGUAAAGCUUAAACCCUCCAUGUUCUUAACAAAUGAAACAUGAAAUAUACAUAAAUCUCCCCUUGAAAAAUUAGACCAAGUACUAUAAAGAAAAAAAACUUUUUCAAUAGAUAGGCAUAGUGAGAGAGGUUGAAAAUAUACCCUUAUAUAUAUAUAUAUAUAUAGACACACCAAACAUAAGAUUAUUUCCUAGCUUCUCUCUUUCUAGAAUCUAAUAACUUUUUCUCUCACUAUAAUGUAUCUAAAAUUUCUACAUUUUCUUAGUUUGGUUGCAAUGUCCCACACCUCAUAAUGAUAAUGAUGAUAUAAUGUAGUUUCUCUGUGUCAUCUUAUGACCUUUAAAUCUUGUCCUAUGUUUUAUAUAAGGGAAAUAUAAGUUAUAUAUAUAUAUAUUCAACCACAAUUUCUUUUUGCAUUAUAAUUUUUUUUAUCAAACAUUGGAAGAUGGAUAAGUAUGCUCGAAUUUUUCAACUAAAUUGACACAUUCAUAACAUACUCUCCCAACCGAUACAGUGAUAUUCAUAUAAAAAAAGUACCAAAAAGUUGAAGUGAGAUAGAGGAGUCUAUUGUGAACAAAAUAUCUUCCUUGGAAUGAUAUUUCUUUUUCAAACUUUAACAAAUGGAUAAAAGAAAAACAUAUAUAGGUUUUGGUUUUGAAGGUAGAUUUUCUAGUACAAAACUCUGAAACAUAGAAUCUCGUUUUACUAUUGAAGAUGGGGUAGAAUAUAAGCAUAUAUAUAUUAUUGUUGAAUUAUAUCAAGAAUCAUAUUAGAUACUUCCACCAUAUAUAUAAACCUAGCUAAAAUUAAAGCUUUAAGAAAAAUCAGAUAUAAAUAAUAAUUUUAACUUAGAAAGUAGAAAAAUGUCAUUAAAUGGACUGAAAUAGUUUCUGUAAUAAUAAGACAUGCAUAAAGCCAAUAUUCCUUUUAUUUAUUUAUUUCAUUGCACUCUCCUUGUGUUUAUGCUCUCUUUACAACUUUUCUUUCAUAUUUUCUGCCUUAAUAUUAUGUUAUUGCUUCUAAGAAACCUUUGUUAUAUCUAUAUAUAUAUAGAUAUAAGGAAACGAUUUGGAGUUAUUAAAACAUGAGGUGUGACUCAACCUCAUGUUUUUAAUUCAAAUUGAGAUAUCAAUACUCGUUCGUUUUAUUCAAUUCUAUCCAUCAAGGAUAUAAUAUGAUAGAAUGAGUAGUUGAAUAUCAUUCUAAAUAAUAACAAUGAAUAAAUAAAACUACUCUUGAAAAAGGAAAAGAGAAAAAAAAAUGUUAAUAUUAUACAAAUUAACUCAAAGAGAAUAAUUACAGUAAAAACUAUAUAAAACUGCCAUUAAAUAAAAAGUAAAGAAAUAAACUUUCCUGGUUUAAUUUCUUCUUCCUCUCCUUUUCUUAUUUGCCUUCAAAUACUCUUUUUUGUAAUACUCAUAUUUUAAGAAACAAUUCUACAAAAAGAUUUGGGAUUAUGUCCCAAUAUAAUUAUGUUAUGAGAUUGAAAUAAAUGUUAUAAAUGAGAGUAAAUUAAAAAAAAAAAUGUUAGUAAGAAACCCUAAUUGGUAGUCCCUUUUAGAACCUUAGAAAAAUUUAAUUUCAUAAGGUUCUAAAAUACUAUUUUUUUUUCAAGAAUUUAUUCUUGAACCACUGACAAAAUGUAUAAAUUCUUAAUAUGUCAUAAUUAGAUUUUAAUUCUUUAUAUUAUAAGCUAUGUGUAUAUAUAUAUUAUAUGCAGAUUUUUAUUAAUUAAUAUUGCCAUUAUUAAGUUUGUUGAUUUUGCAAUUUAACCUUUCCCUCUUUCUCUCCUAUAUGAUCUUCCUUCAUCUAAACCAAAACCCUACAUUUUGAAUUCUUUCCUUCUCCAAUGAAGGUGAACUUACACGAUAGAAUCCUUGUCCUCCAAAUCCUUCUCUCCAUUGAUAUUUUGACAAACCACUAAACUUUCAUAAAUGAUCAAAAUUUCACAUAUAUAUACAUACAUACUUAUUUUAUUUUAUAAUUAUAAUUUGAAAUGAUUAUUGAUUUCUAAGCAUAUGUUUUAUCAACUAAAUUAUAUUACAUGAUAUGUUCUAGAAUUUUUAUUUACUAGAAAACCAACAUUUUAUUAUACCUUUUCUUUUAAUAUAUUGAGGAUAUGUGAAAUGGGCUAAGCUUAAUUAAUGUGCCUAUUGAAAACCUUCCUUUGAAUUGCUUAGGGUAUCAGUGAGUUUCAUCCAUUGCAAAUGCUCCAUAUGACUUUUUUGUGUACAGUUUCGCUCCACUAUCAUUCAGCCAUAGUCUCUAAACUUCCAAAUUAAUAUCAAUAGAUCAGAAAGAUGAAGAAGUUCUACAACUAAUGUAGGAAUCUUGGUGUACUUAACCUCAAAUUUAUACUUUCAUGAGGAAUGCUUGUGUAUAUGGUUGAGCCAAAUGCCCAUUGUUGUUUAGGUUUAUUCCCUUCCAAACGUCACUAGGUCACUAGGUCCCUAAGUUGUAACAUUUGAGACAUGUAAUAUCAAGUUUUUUUCCCAAUGUUUUCAUCUUGGUAAAAACCAGUAGAAUUUGAAAUAUAGCGGUAAACUCUCAUUAAAACAGUAAGAUUGUUACAAAUAUUUGACAAUAUAAGUGCUCUAGAAUCGUGAUGAAAUACGAGUUAACAUAAAGUGUUACACUAGAGAGUGCAAGUGAGAGUCAUAUAUUCUUAACUUGUUGAGCUUCUUUUCCAAGAAAUAAAGCAUUUUUAAACUGCUAUUCACAAUGGGUGUAGGUCAAUUAAGAUCAAACCACUAUAAUCCCUUAGGUCAUCUUCAUUCCACAAACAUUGUGGUGUGUUUUUUGUGUGUAAAGAAGGGACGCAUCAAAACGUUGUAUGAAUAAUCAAAACAAGAGUUUAUAUUUAAACCUAUAACUCAACACAUUAUGGUAAAAGCAUAUUUAUCAAUACAAGCUUUGAAAUAACUCGAUAUAAAAUUUGACCCAGUUUUUCUACUUUAAGCUCCCUUCUUUCCCAGCUAAACCCUCUUAACUCAAACUUCCUUCUUAAGAAAAACUUCCUUUAAAGAGGUAUUCAAUAGUUUCUCUUCAAAUAACAGAGUUGGACGCAUGAGAGACCUCUUCAACGCACGGUAGUUCUUCUUUGAACACAUGAAUGGCAAGUUCAACGCACGAUAGCUCUGUUGGGCGCAUAGAGCAUGUUGUUGACCAAUCUGAUCCCCUUUUUUCUUCUGAAUACCUAAGAUCUUCCCUCACUCUUAUUUCUUUAGGAAGCUUAGCAAACGAAUAUGUGAAUUUACUCCUCUCAGAUCUUUUAUUUGUAAGACCCCAGGAUUUGUUCUUGUCACCCACUCCACGUCCCUUUGUUUGCUAGCUCCUCCCUCAAAUUUGGCUAAGUAUCCACUUAAGGUGCUUCUACACCUCAGAUUUGGCUACCUUUAAACAUGUGUGAUCUGCUUGUAAGGUUUUCUUACCUCAGAGUUGACCACCCUCCUUCUCUUACUUAGUCAAUUUCCUUCUUGUUUCAUCACCUUCUACUUUCAAGCUUUACUUAACUCAGCUGAUCGCUUAACCCUCCUUGUUAAGCAAUCUACUUGGACACACUUCCUAGCCUAAAUCCAACAAGUUCAACACAUGGGUAACCAUGCUCAAGACUUCUUUCUAUCCCCGUGGCUUCUUGGUUUUGGCUCAUUCAACGCAUGACUUGUCAACGAACUGUUCAACGCGUAGUUCAAUGCAUGGUUUUUCCUUUAUCUACAGUGUUAAGCAUACUCAUCUUUUCCUCUUUGCUGAAGUAUGCAACGUCCAUCGUACAAAAAUUCUCACCUUCUUUACUUACUUCUUCAUCCACAUGGUUCUAAACUUAGCCAAUUUCCCCUUCACCAAGUUUCUUCUCAACACAACACAAAGUUCACCUUCCAACCUAAUAUUUACUAUGUCCAUACUAAAAUACAAACUUUAAAUUAAACUUAAGAGAAGUAAAAAUGGUUCAAAGGUUUACAAUCCAUCAAUAGCACUUAAUCAUCAAUGAUAGACUUCUAUCGGUAUCUAUCUCGACGGUAAAAAAUUCAAAAAAUUAUGCUAUAAAAAUAUAUAUCAAAUGAACUUUGAAUGAAUACACUCAAUUUAAACAUAUUUCCAAGAUGUCAAAGGGAAAAUUUUGGGAAACCUACUUUGAUUUUUUUUUCAAGAAAUACCUACUUAAGAAUUCUUUUUAUCCAUUAUGUAAUGUUUUACAACUUGAAAAAUGUUAUACAAACAAUAUAAUAUAGUCUUUUUUAGAAUUUGUUGAAAUCCUUCUUGUUUUCUCUAUCUAUGAUCUCUCUUAUACUUUUUUAAUUUUAAAAAAUUAAUAUCUUAAUGAUUUCUUAGAAGAAGAGAAAAUUAGUGAAAUCUAAUUUGAUCUUUGACCCUUUUUUUUAUUAUUAUUAAAGAUGUGGCAACUUUAUUUAUCAUAUUUUAUGUGUCCAAUUGGAAUGUUUUAUGUCUCCUAUAGUUCGUUGGAAUCCUUCUAAUUUUUCUUCAUAAACUAUCUCAAAUUUAUGAACACUUAAUAUUUGGAUCAAAUUUUAGAAAAUUGAUCAAUAUAUGUUUAGGGUUUCUAUCCCACAACAACCCCUAAACACACAAAACCCUAUAAAUUUGGAGAUUUUCUGUUUCUCUACAAGAAAUUACUGUCAAGUACUAAUCAAUGAUUCUUUGGUCAAGAGAGGGUUAAAUUGAAGAUCUCUUCUUUUGUGUAUAUAUUCCUCAUCCCAUUGAUUAAAUAUGUUUUCUUGUAAACUCCUAUCGCUUCCUUAGGCCAUGAUGAACAUCAAAAUUACCUCAUACAUUUAAACGUGACAAAAGUGAUUUUUUUGACUUCAAAAUAACAUUCCCUUAUCAGCAAAGACUCUUGACUUAUUCCAUUCUUGCUUUGAAUCACUUUGUCAAGUUUCAAAUAGAUCUUGAACGUAACCUUACAAAAUGAUUAAUUUUUCCAUCUCUAUAUAAUUCAAAAUCAUACCAAACAUUUUCGCAAAAUUAGGGGAUUCCUGAACCCUAAUACCAUUCUUCUCGUUAAAUUCUGUGAGAAUUUUACAUUGGAAAAAUCUAGAGACCUCACAUAAGACAUAUAGAUGAACUACUUCUCAAUUAUCAAUUCAUUUUGAAAUGAAAGCUUAUCGCCACUUUGUCGACAAAGGGAUUCUUAACUAAUCAUUUUAGUUACAAUACAUUUGGAACAUAAUCACAAUGUAAUUCUAACCAUUUAAAAGAACUCCAUACAUUUUCUCAAAAUUAGGGUUUCAACUAAUUCCCUUUAUGAUUCAAAAUCAAUCUUUUAGAACUCCCCAUCUUAGAUAGAUUUUAAACACACAACAAGUGAUUUUUCAAAAUCACUCCAAAAAAUGCCUCUAGAGUUAGGAAUUUCAAUCUAAUUCCAUUCCUGAGUUGUGGAUAAUAAUCUUCAUAUUUAUACCCAAAAGUUUCACUGUUUCAGUACUGAUAAUUCCUCAAACUACUCAGUCUUCAAUCAAAUGGCUGCUUUUAAAACAGGCAGAGAAAAUCUUCUAAGUUCUAUGAAAAUCAUGAAUAUAAAUUUCAUUUUUAGGUUUUGAAAAUCAUGAAUGAUCGUAACCAACAAAUGUUGAUUCAUUAAAACUGUAUAUUAUAUAAAACUAUAGUUGUCACUUAGCAAUUCAACAGUCUUUCUUCUGAAGCCAUUGAUGGCUUAUCUUUCUCUUCUAGCUAGGGCUGUCUUCCUUCCAUUAACAAUGAGAGCCAUUUACAUAUAUUUAUACUGAAAACUUCAGAGUUAUGUGUGAGGUUUUUCAUGAAUCUUUUAUAGACUACUUCUAGAAAAAUAAGCCUUUGUUCUCGAAGUUUUGGCUCUAGUUUCCAUUAGCAGUGUCAAGUUUUCAAAAUGUUACAUUUUUAGCCUCCCUAAAUUAUGGUUUAAAUUGUACUUCGUCCAUUGUUUGUUUUCCUAGAAUACAAGUAUACAAUCAAGGUUGAGAGGACAAACAUUGGCUCUAAAACAUUACAGUUUGCAGUUAUUAUAUAACUGAGAAAUUUAGAUCAUACUCUUAAUAAAGCUUAUACUAAUUAAAUCCUCAUUUUACUACAUUGCACAUGAACUAUACUGUCUUUUUCAUGUGAGGGCUUUCCCAUUUUUGAUAUUUUUCUAAUAUAGUAAUACCAACAAAAUCCAUUAUACCUUAAGAAGAUGGUUAAAGCUAGAUUGCAGCUUCCUAUGACAUCCAUUAUCUUACUCAUAGUUUUAAUUCUAACUCAUAGAAUUAUAAUCUACUCUAAUAUUUAAAUAAACCACAGUUGGAACAACACCUUCAGUAUCUAUUCAACUCAGUGAAAAAUAUUUCAACUAUAGACAGAACCUCCACCGCACACAUUUUGCAUUACUGUCAAGCCAGUAAGCUCGAUCACAAAAUGCUAACAUCAUAUUCUCUCAUCAAUUUAAAGCAAAUAUGGCAUAUGUAUGAACUUUAUCUUUCUACUGAUGAAGUCACCAUCUCCUUUGAAAAGAGAGACAUUGUUAGCUUUCGUUCUAGAGCCAUUUUACAAAAUUUAUCCAUUAACGACCUUUUCUCCAUUUACUCAAAACUUUCCACAUUUCCAACAACUAUGGUGUAGCAUGGUUGUGUUUUUUUUUUUUCUUCCUUUCUUCUAAUUCCAGUUACCAUAGUUAAAUCAUAUUGGUGGAAAUGAAAAAGAUGAAUAUGAGUUCUUGACGUACGGCUCUCGUCGCCGAAAUCCAUGCCAAAUAAAUUACCAAAAUACACACCUUAGUGUUAGUGGUAAGUCCUAGUCGAACUUAGAAAGCAUACUGAUUUCUCAAACAAAACAAUUUCCAACCUAGGUAACUGGGAGGGGCAUUGAGUUGAAUUCAGUUGCAAGGAAGCUAAUGAAACGAAAGUGAAUUGUAAUUAAAUUCAAUGAAUAAAAGAUCCUUGCAUGGGUUCAAACGAAACUCCCUAUAUCAACCUGAAACUCCCUAUAUCAAUUUGUUUGCUCAGAGCAAUUUCAUCACUAGAUCUACUGUUAUAUUCCAGCCAAUUUGAUUAGAAAGGCUAAACAAAUUUUCCUAAACAACUAACUAAUACUAAUUGAUUCAAUGACACAUACAGAAUUUAAUUAAUACUAAUCAUUAAGAUCUAAGGCAAGUUGGAUCCACAAAUCUACACAUGUUCUUUAAGUAUAUUUUGUCCCUACUCACAUGCAUCUUAGAAAAGUUCACACGAGGUCAUUAAAUAUAGGAUUGCUGAAAGCUAAGAACUCUGGAUUUCUUACGAUUGAAUCACCGAAAAGCUGGAAGAUACCUUUAUUGAUAUAGGUGGUAAACUUUUAAUUCUUUUAAACAUUUCUAAUAAUACUUUUAUAUCUUCAAGAUUGCUCCCUAUGAUAUAGGUUAAUUCACGUGCUUCUCCUAAACUAGGAGCAUUACUUCACACCUCUUAGAAUCGCCUCAGAACCUUUGUAGACAGACUUGACUUAACCUUAACCUCUGAAAUUGUAAACCAAGGCUAUUAAACACAAUCAAAGAUAUAAAACUGAUCUUUGUCAAUGAGUGGAACAUGCCUACGUACUUUCAUCCAAGGUGUAGAAGGCACCAUCCUGUGUUUGUAUCCUAACCGAGGCUAUUACCAAUACUUUGCUAACAUCAUUAUUCUUAGCCAUACUAACAUUCCUUCAACACUGUUAUAUAGCUUGAUUUCCUUUAGAAUUGAACCCAACUCCCUUGGAAUCGGUUUCAAUAUUCCCCAGUACAGAAACAUGAGCUUUCUCUAGCUCCUUUUCAUGUUAUCUAUUUUUCUUAGCACAUCUAAUUUUCCAUGAUGGAUAGAACACUUGGAUUUGAAAAACUUAUGGUUCGACUUUUCUCUACCCGAUCUUUUCAUAUUGUAGUAAACCUAGACGCCUCUAUAACUGAACCUGCUGCAUGCUUUAUGAUGGACCUCUCUAUUAAGAACUUUGAUCUUCACUUCUUCUAGAGACAAAGUAUCCUUCCUACCAGGAAAAAAAUCAAUAAAAUAAUUCUCAUAUAACAAUGGCAAAGAUGCAGACAAAAUUAAUGCAGCAUCCUUAUAAUCUAUUUUAGUAUCCAGGUUACUUAAAUCUGACAUAAUUUCAUUCAACUGAUUGGACGAUCUCUAAGAGAGACACCUUCUUGUAUAUGCAGAUCAAACAUACGUUGCACAAAAAAGUAACUUCUUGGAUAAAGAGUUCGUUAUGAAAGACGACUUUCUUCCAACUUCAAAUAAAGCCCAACAAAAGUUUCAUCACCUGACCUCGAUGCUAUAGUGUUAUCAGCCAAAAGUAGGAUCAUCCUGGGAUGAACACUUCCUCUCCAAAAUCUUCCACUCUUCAUCAUUUGCAUUAUUUGUCUUAUCUUUGACUUAUCAAUCAACAACACCCAUAACCCCAAUUGGUUCAGCAGGGAUUGCAUCUUAAUCUAUCACAGAUUGAAAUUGUUUUUCUCCUAAAGGAAUUAUAUAUUUAUCCAUUUUCACAUUCAUGAUAAACAUCUUUGUUUGUGGAACAUAUGCAAAAUUUCAAGUCGUUACAAUUUGGUUUUGAUGCCAAUUUGUAAUGAAAUUGAGAAACAAAAGAUCCAAGAAAGCUAAAUAUAAAAGAUUGACUUAGAGAUAUACAUGGUAUUAUAUAUCUGUGUCUACAGAUAGAGAAUUUUAUAUGUAGCGUACACCUCUCAACUCUAAUGGCAAACUUAUAAAUAACAUAAAUAUGUAUACAAUAAGACUCCAUUUCUGAUCAUUUAGAGCAUAAGAUAACAGAUUUCGAGGGGUUAUUCCAACAAUAAACAUCACUACUUCACUAUAUGAAAGCACACUGUUUGGUCUUCUCUUUUAGGACUUAGAUAAUCCACAUCGUAUCAAACAUAUCUUAAAUUUGCAUUUGCCACAAGCCAGUGCGAUCUUUCCAAUAUUGAAAUUUUUACAUUUCAAAUUUCUCUGGUGAAUUUUAAAGUAAUUGCAUCACAUCUCUAGUGAGUGUAUAAAUAGCAACCAAUCCUUAUUCAUUAUACAGUGUGUGCCAAUCUUGACCCGAAUCAAAAUUUCUUAUUAUUGGACCAAAUACUCGUUUGGACUUGAUGAGCUUUGAUAAUUUAAGAUUUCAUCUCAAAAUCAAUCGAUAAUAAGAGGAGUAAUUGAUUGAGUCCUCCUUCUUGCUUUUUCCAAACGUUGGUAACUCAACAUCUCAAUACAUCUCUAAAAAAACAUCUCAAUGCAAUAGUCAUAAAUUAUUUUACUAUAUUAGUAAAUUUUUCGUUUAUUCUACUAUAUUUGAAAACAAAACUAUUAAAAUCGAGGAAAAAAAAUCUCCCAUCAUACAAUUAUAUAUUUAAGCCUCUUUUGUCCCAUUUAUAAUCCUUGAAGUAUUCUGAAACGUCUUUGAGAAAACAAUACUAAUUAACCUAAACAUUAUUACCUGCUAGCAUAGGUAUUCUUUGUUGAUUCAAAUCUUCACUCCAUGUUGAUUUUAACAAGAAAGGUAAAUUUAAUUAUAGUAAAUGCAAUAAAGUUAGUGAUUCACACACAGAUCAAAUAUUGAAACAUAUAUUACUGCACAGAAUUACUAUGAAAAUAAACUGUUAAAAGAAUUUCAUAUGAUCAAACCCUACUAAGUUGGAUCUAAUAACCUUUAUGAUCACCCAAAUUCCUACAAUUAAAUAUGUUAAAAAUCUAGAGAUCUCUUGUCUACCAAAAAAAAAAAAAACCCUAAAGCCCUAAAAUAAUUGAAAAGAUUAAUUAACUUAAAAAAUAUAUUAAGAGUAAUUGUAGGAAUUUGGGUAAUCAAUGAUAAAGGUGUUACUCAAUGGUAUGAGAGUGCGAUCUUCAUACUAGGAGUAAUGCAUUGGAUGCCAUCUAAAAAGUUUGUAGUUAAGCGUGCUUGUGCAAAAGUAGUAUUAAGUUGGAUGAACAAUGUUGUCUUACUCUCCUUUUUGAAUGGGAAUACAACACUGUUGUCUUCGAAGUAUAAUGAGGGAUCUAAGAGGUGUCAACCUGUAGUUUGAGAUGUACCGGUAAACCCUUGAUCCCACUCUCUUGUUCAAAAAAGUUCAACCAUUUGAGAUGUUCUCUUGUUGCACCUCUUUUGAAUGAAAUUAUAUAUAAAAAAAACAAUCCCCACAAACACUUGUUAGGGCUUUUUAAAUCAAGAAUUUUGUAAUAUCCAUGGGUAUAUAUAAGAAUAUUAAAUAUUUAACUGUUAAAAGAACUAAGAUGUGAAUGUUUGGAAUAGUAGUAAAUAUAAACAGAAUCCAAAUGAACAAAAAUAAAAAAAAAUACUAACAAAGUAUUAUUUAAACCUAGUUGUUUUUUUCUUGGUGCAAGAUUUAAGUACAAUUUAAGGUUAUAGAGUAGGGUCAAGGAAGAGAUAAGAUGCUUGUAUCUGUGAAGCAUUUCUUUGUGUUUUCUAUUCUAUGGGAAGUAAAUUUCACUUCUUUGAUUAAUAUAGUAAGUAGUGGUUACAUACAAAGUAUAAAGUAUUCUGUAUACAUUUAAAUAUCAUAUAACUUUAAGUCUGUAUAUUUUUCCUUUUUUGGCAUUUUGUGAAGCAUCCAGGAGAUACUUGAGAGGCAUAAUAGUGUCCAUUCAGAGAACCUUCCCAAUUUGAAUGAACCAUCAGUUGAGUUGCAGGUAAUUUAUAAUAUCUCUUUAAUGAUAACUUUUUGGAUUAGGAUGUGAAGAGGCGUUAAGAAUUAUCAACACUUAAUUCUAGUUAAGAUAUUUGGGUGUGCGUUCUGAUCCCUCAACAUUGAUUUAAUUCAUCAAAAUAUUGUAUCUUAUAGAAUGAGAUUUCUUGAUCUAUAUUAGCAAUUUGACCUAUCAAAUAUAAGAUGUUCUUUAACAUAAAGAAGUUGAACUGAAAAUUAGAGCUCGUUUGAUGACGAUUUGACCUUUUGACAGCUCGAGAGCAAUAUUCGAGCGAAGUUGAAUGAAGAAGUCGAAAAAAAGAGCCAUGAACUAAGGUGAGUGCAGAAGCACAGUAAUGCACUUUUAAUUCUUUGUAAGCAUAUUGAAUGAAUAAUCUGUGUGAAUAAAUGUAAUAGGCAAAUGAAAGGAGAGGAGCUUCAAGGUUUGGGGAUGGAAGAACUUAAGAAAUUAGAGAAAUCUCUUCAAGGAGGACUCAGUCGUGUUGCUGAAAUUAUGGUUAAAUUACUUCUAUAUAUCACUUUUAAUUACUUUUUUCAAUCUAAAUUUAACAUCGUCCCAUUUAAUUUUUACCUAAUUAACUUUGGUUAAUUUAAUUUCAUAUAUUCAGGAUGGAAAAAAUACUGAUUUGCUCAGCGAUAUUGGAAGGAAGGUAACCCAUUAAUUAAACACUUCAAAUUUUAUUUAUUCUAUGGAACCAUUAGAUUAAUCAACAUAGAUUAGUUCUUCCUCCCAUUUUAUACUUGGUUGGUUUUGAGAUGAAACAUAUGCAUAUUUAAUAUGGAGUCAAAGUCCAUGAUGAUGCUCAUAUUGGUAUUUGGUCCAAAACAAGAAGUUCAAUCCGAGCAUGACAUACUAGUUUGUUAAUAACCAUAAAGCCUGUUAUAUAGGCUCUUAUACUGCUAGGUACAAACAAAAUCUCACGUUCGUUAGGAAAAUAAUAUCGAUAUGAGGUAUUUUGGAUAAAACGGCAAAUGAAAAACCAAAAGUCACAAAACCUCAUAACAAAGUAUAGAUGGAUGGGGAGGGUUCUGAAUAUCUUUAUCAAAUAAAACUAUCUUCUCCUUCAACUGAUUGACUCUAGCUUCCACCCUUUUUUUCCCACACCAUUCUCCCAAGGAAUACUUUGUUACAUCAAAUACAAUGAACCUUACAAUACUUCCAACUCUCCCUGAACCCUAAACCUAAACACAUGCCCCCUUCUCUAUAUUCAAUUUGAAAUUACUGUACAAAUUAUUACUGAAAUCUAAUAAAACCAUUAAGUUGAAGUAUUGAUAUAAAUAAACUUACUACAACUAUAAACUUAAGCAUACGGUAUCAAAGCAGAAGUUUUGUGUUGGAACUCUUUGUAAUGUCCUUUUGUCUCCUAAUUAAUACAUACCCAAAAAUUUUCAAAUCUACACAUGAGGAGAGGGUUAAAAGUAUUGAUAUCGUUCAUAAUCCAUUCACUUAAGCUUAGAGGUUCUGUUUGAUUGUUUUCCUUUUUGUAUCUUUAGUUUGUUCCUAAUUUCAGCGUGUGAUUUUAGUAAUGGUUUAGAUGUUGUAAUUGAGACUCAGUUUCAUUUGGAGCCUUAAUUGCUUUUUUACUCUUAAAUUUGUAGCCUAUUACAUUUUUAUUAGCUUUGGGUCAUGUUUUAUCGUUGCAAAUGUAUAUUGGCAAUACAUUUAUGUAGCAAUUAAUUUCUUUUAAGAGAACCAAGGAUCUCAAACAAUUAUGUUCAUUUAUGGAAUUAUAUAUAUUGACUUAUACUAUAUUUUAGUUAGUUUCGGGUGUGUUUCAAUAUCAAUUUAAACCCUUAAACAUUCAAUGUCGUAUCAUUAUAAACUUUAAUUAACUAAUAUUUACAUCGAUUUAAAUUAUGAAUUUUUGCAUGCGUGUAUCAGUUUCACCAUCCAUUAAGUUGUUUUUGGAUAGACAUCUGAUGAGAUAUAUAAUUUUAUCAAUUGAACCCUUAAGAAUCUCAUGAGUAAAUCAAUUUAGAUCCAAAAUUAAGAUUGUUUUUUUUUUAGAUCAUAGCUGGGGUCGCAUUUGGCCCCAUUGAGAUUGUCAGUAACACCACCAAUGAUGUUGAUGUUCAACCUGACCUGUUUGCCCACUUAUCUUGCUGUGUUAGAUGUUGCACCCUCCUCGGUUGCACCAUGACACUUCUCCCAGCCCUUUAUCUUUGUUUAACAUGUCUUGUUGCUAUUACACUUUAUGUACUAGGGGGUCACAAUGUACUUCCUUGAAGUAUGAUAGUGAGAUUGUCCUCCACUUAAAUUGUCAUCGUCGUUGAUAUGACAAACUUAGGGAUGCAAUCGGCUUUGAUGCACGUCAGAUUGCAACACUACUCACCCUUUUUUUAAAUUUUUUUUUGACAUUUGGAAAAGUUUACGCAAGUAUAAGAAUUGAAUGCAUGCAUGCAUGGACAUUUUCAAAUGUAAUUUUAGGAUAGAGUUUAAAUUAAUAAUUUGUUCAAAACAAUUUAAAAGUUUCAAUUGAAACAAUUAUAUGUUUUACCCACGAUAAACAUAAAAAAUUGGAACAAAAUAUAGAAGAUUAGCAUGACACUUUGUAAGUGUGUUCAUGAUUUAAAUUGAUACAAAUUUAAAGGUGUAAACUGAUAUUUUUCCAUAUUUUUAUUAUAUUCUCUAUCAGAUAUUAACAAAUGUGGGCCUUAAUAAUUCUUUUUGAGUGAGUUUUGAGUUGUGAGGAUUCUUCGAAAUGAUCCAACACAACAGAUCCCAUUUUAUAAGCAACUUAUAUUUCUUUCUUGAAAACUCACAUUAGUUCCUUUGUAUGGUUUACUGAUCAGCUUUAGGCUCUGAUACUGUGAGUCGUUUUAACCUGCCAAAACGAGCAUAAAAAGUCAUUUUACCUUCAUGUGAAGUGCCAACUUAAUACCUCUCUCUAUUACUUCCAUUAAAAGAAAAAAGAAACUAAAAGUUCCAGUAUAUGUUGUCUGGGAAAUUUAAACUAAAAAAUGAAUCAAUAAGAAAAUUCUACCUCUAAACUAGCCUUGACAGUUCAUAAUAUACUAAUAAUAUGAAAAUAUGGCAACAAGCACAAUGCCAAAAGAAUUAGAUAUAGCAAAAUUUAGAUUAACUUUCGUGGGUCUAUCAGUGAUAGAGUAUCAUAUCACUUGCUAAUAAGUGUUUAUCUGUAAUAGAUCAUAUUGCUAGUUGGAAUCGUGUCUAUUAGUGUGAUAGACUUUGCUAUAUUUGUCAUUGUUUCUAGCAUUUACUUUGAAAUUUCACUAAUAAUGGUGAAUCAUGCUGCAAUGAAUAUAUAUUCAAAGCAGUUUGAUACUUUAAACUGAACCGAGUUAAACUGAUUAUAUAUACCAUCUGCCCAUCACCCUUUUAGAAUUGCUUUCACUCACAACAUCUAACCAAUUAUCACCCAUUGAUACGGUGGACAAUUGAGAUUACUUAACUUUGAGUAUUCCCCGUGGAAGAUGAUUUUUUUUUCUUUUUGAUAAAUGGAAUUUACAUGGAAAAAUACGAAAGGAAAAACGAAGGCAUAAAAAAGGUCCUAAACUAACUAUGAAAAUGACUCCAAUCUAACAAAAUUGUGCCAAAAUAGGCUUUGUUUAUGUACCUCUCUACAAAGUCUAUUGUUUCUCUUAUCUAGAUCAUACCCCACACAAUGAAAAAGAACUUAGCAUAACGCACAGUUUUGUCAUUCUUUCAAAAAGGUGAACUCGUAGCACCUCCUCAAUUAACUGUAGCAAAACAAUAUGUAGUCUGAAGAGAGAAAAUUUCUUUUUGAAAAAAUAUACAAGAGGAGGCAGAUAGGAUGAAUUGGCGCCCUCAAACAUUCUUAAUCAGGCUGGCACAUCCUUAGCCACCCUCAACAUAUUCCCGAGCACAAAAAAUGAUGCUUUGAUAAAAGAAAGAAACUAUACAAGGAGAGCAAAGUAGAGAUAGAGAAAGCACAAAAGUUCAGGGAUGUUGACAUGGAAAAUGUUAGAGGAAAGCCUCCAAAAUACAAGGCUAGCUCCUAGAUCAGAUUACUAGAUAAGAUAAGGAAGCUGACUCAUCCCACCUUAUUCAAGGAGACGGAAGGAACCGUCUUCCUUUUUUUUCUUUUUGAAAAGGAUACGUUGACUCAUCCCACCUUAUUCAAGGAGACGGAAGGACCAGUCUUAGUUCUUUAGUUCUUGGAAGCCUUCGAGACGAAGCAAGAAUGUCAGUGCCAUCAGGUGUCGAAUGAUCGAGAUUCAAAAUCCUUGUCCGAAUCCUAGGACUAAGGUGUCAUCCAUCUCAAAAAUCAAUUGAGAAAGAAAUGAUUAGCUCAUCUAUCUUAUAAGAAGUGGGAAAUCUCUUGGUUUUUCUGAUGUGAGUUUUUCAGGACAUCCCCACAUUCACUUUAUGUGGGACUUUGAUUGCAUUCUCAACGUUUACUUAUAAUCCUAAAUUGGUUUCAUUAAAAUUCAACCCAUGGUCCAAAUUUGCCUUGGUGCAAUAAAAACUCCUUGAAAAGUUAGAAGAGUGUUAAGGAGGUGUUGAAGUGUGACUAAAGUUCUACAUUGGCUAGAUAAUAGAUCUCUACAAGAUUUUUCACUUUUACUGACGAAAAAAACGUCAGCCAAUGUCCAAAAAACGCCACCCUAAGUUAUGCCGACGCAAAAAAAUGUGUUGGCAAGAACGUCGCCAUAUCCGUGUCGAGUGAAGUUCUUAUCAACGAAAUUGAAUUUUAAUUUUAUCGAUAUAAGUACCUUUUCCUUGACAUAUUUAUUGUUGUGUCGAUGUACAAGUUUUGCUGACGACAUAUAAGUUUUGGUAUGAGAGGAUCUAUGACAUAUGAAAGAGGAUAAUAUAGUGAGAGAAGAUCUAUCACAUAUAAAAGAGGAUAAUUAUCUUUAAUGGUAUGACACCUCACAGUGGAGAUAUGUUAGAAGGCUCGUAAUUCCUAAUAAUUAAAUGAUACCAUAGUGACCUUAAUACUUGAGGGAGAAUAAUUGGAAUGCAGCCAUAGUCUUACAUUAUAUAUAGUUAGAUAACCUAUUAUAUAUAAAGGAAGGACAAUCAUAUCUCUAAUAGUAUGAGACAUUUUUAGUGAUCAAACCAAAAUUAAAAGCAUGAGGGUUAAUUUCCAAAAUGGACAAUAUAUCAUCUAUUGUAGAGAUAUAUUGGAGGGUUGGUUGUCUCUAGCAAGUAGUAUCAUCCCACUCCCACUCCCACUCCCACUUUGAUGCUGAAGUUAAUCUCACAUGGAGGGUAGAAGUAUCAAACUACUAUGCUCAUAAUUUACUUACAUCGUCAAAGAGCUUUCGUAUGGCCUAUUUGUAGGAUAUCGUGACCAAAUCCAUUUAGGAUCAUGUUUUUGUGUCUAAUUAGAAGAAUUCCUCGGAUUUAUUGGAUCAGCCGGCUCAUGGGGGAUAAAUCUCGAGCUAACCUAUAGGGCAGCUGAGGAGCUUGGAAUGGGGCUGUUUCUCUUUCACUUGUUCUUUGGUUGGGUUUUGCAUAUUCCAUUGAGCUCCAGCUACAUUUCCUUGUAUUUUAGAGAAGAAAGAAACACUCCUUCACAAUCUCCACGUUAACUUUCUCUAGAAGCUUAACUAAAUUCUUAUUUGUCAUUAUGUUUAAGUUACAUAGAGUUUUCAUUGCCAUCUUUCGCCAAGUUGGCCUUCAUUUUCUACUUCAUACAAUUCGUUGAGCUUGCGGCCAUUAUCAACUUUUUGUUUGCUGUCUCCCAUGAACAUGAUUUAUUUUUUUGCUUGAUGGUACAAAUAUAGUUUAGUAUAAUUGAAGGUACUCAAUAUUAACUCUUUAGAUCGUGUUUUGAAGAACUUGUCUUACUUUAUAUAGUCAUCGUAUUAUAUCAUCCAUAGGAAUACUAUUGAGGAUCUUGACUUUUUCUCUUUUAGUGUGGAAUUUGCUUCCUUUAGACGUUUGGUUUCCAUGUAACUCAAUCUAAAAAUUGUUUUAAUGGUCGAGUGGCUUCCUCGUUUCGCACUGACCAUUUCUCCAUUUGUCAUGACUCACUGGUCCUCGGAAUGUUGUAGAGGUGUUGUCAUUAGCCAUCAGAAGAUUGCUCAGAAAGUCAAAUAAUGUAGUAGAGCGAGACAAUGAAGACAAUGAGAAAGAGAUGAUACUUAAAGUUAGUGAGAGAGCGAGAGAAAGACAUAGAAAGUCAAGAGAGUGAGAAGUGCGUGACAACGAGAUAGCAAGAGAGGAAAGAGCGAGAGGCCAAUCUGCGUAUGCAAUUUUCAAUUUUUAUAAUUUCACGUCCACAUGACGUUGACAAAGGACCAAAACCCUCUAUUUUGGAUCCUCCAUCCACCGUGACCCUAUUGUAAGGAUUCCAUAUACAAUCAUUUCUUGCUUAUGUGAUCCGAGAUACAAUUGAUAAUAGAUGAGGAUGGACAACUAUCUCCAAUAGUAUGAGACAAAAAACAAAGCAAGAGUUUAUGCCUAAAGUGGAUAAUAUCAUACUCUUGUAGAGUUAUCUGGAAGGUCUGCUGGGUAAAAUCCUAGGUCAUGGUGGUAUCUGUGAGCGGUUACCCAAUUACUACUUUGGGGUUGAGCUUUCGUUCAAAUAAUGUGAUCAAGUGUAUAAUUUAGAGAAAUAACUGUUUGAGAAGAGACUUGAUUUACCAAGCUACGCUCCUGUUUCUUCACAAACAUAUCCAGUUAAAUUAUCUAAAGAGUAACGAUAAAAGAGUUGUAAUUUGUAAAAAGUUUCAAUCUUGUAGACCAAAUGACUGUUAAGGUGAUGCUGUUAUUCUAAAUUUGUGCUCUGCUACACAAAGGUUUUUCAUUAAAAAGUAAAGUUGUUUCUCUGGUUUCAAAGAUUCCAAAGAUUUGUGAUUGUAAUACGUUGAAGUGUAGGAGGAGACUCAAGGGCAGUUUAAGAGGCUGAGUUGAUUAAUCUAGUCAUUAUAAUUGUUUGUGUUUGAGAGCAAGCUCUUCUAGUCUGGGUUACAAAUGAUGAGAGAAGAUAGUUACAAAAUAGUAAACGCCAUAGAAAUGGAGUGUUGACAAAAUGUUGGUUAUAAUUACUAAGAACUUCAAUUAUAAUAGUCACCCCAUCCAAGGCAAGUUGGGAGACUAAACGCCCUUAGCGUGUUAGAAGUUCAAUGAGCCAAGUUCCUCACAACCACACGACAAAAAAAGCCAAAAGGAAGAAAACGAAAAAAAAAAACUAUCACAGGACAAAUUGUGGUUGGACGACACGGCAGAUAAUCUGCAAAAUGAUCACAAAGUACUUUGGUAAACAGUUUUGCACGUCCCUGUUAAGACUUUCAGAUUGUUUGUUACAGUAAAUAAUUGUUGAGGAUUUUACUUUAAGAUUUCGUUUCUUUGUUUAGUUUAGUUUUUUUCUUACUAUCUCACAAACUUUUCUAUCAGUCUGCUUUCCAUUACUGUCUAUGUUGGUUUCAUAUAUUUGCUGCAUGCUAUCAAAUUUAGCCUUUUCUGCUACUGGCAUCUCUCUUCUGUCCAGUUGUAAUUGAACUAAGAUUUGCAUUAUGUUUUGAGGAGGUUCUGAAUGUGUUUUAAAUUGCUAUGUUUUUCUAUUUAUGCAUCAUUUUGUUACUAGUAAAAUUAUUUAACUUUGAAUCGUGGAGAACUGUCAACAUAUAUGUUACUCCCACCAACAUACCUGUAAUACAUUUAAUUUUUAAUUUCUUAUGCUCUAUUGUAAUUCAUUGCUAUCGUUAGAAUUGAACCAUUUGAGAUACUUUUCAAUAGAAUGUGUAUAUUAAUGGUAUAAAGAUAUUUAGCAAAACCAAGGUUUACGUUAUACUUGGUAGAGAAAUCUCAUACAUUUUGUUGAUGCCAAAAUUUGUGCAAGAAAAAGUCAUGUCCAUCACUUGACAACAACAGUAAAAUUGUUUACCGGCGAAAGAGCGUGACCGGCCUACAAAAGAAAGCAAAAUAUAUAAUUGCCACACAAGCUCUAAUCCUUAAGCAAGUCCGAAAGAGAGUGAAAGUUUUAAGAUUUGAGAGCGAGAAUUGACUUAUUGUCCACUGAGGUGCUAAGACGUUAAUUAUAUAUAGUAGGCCGACCUAGAGUUUCCUACCAUUUCUCUUUCUACAAAAGGAAAAAAGAACUGAUGAGGGGUUUGGGGUUUCACUUAGUCCUAGCCGAGCCAAGCCAAGCCCAUCCCACCCCACCCUGAACCAUAUGUGUCUACGAGCAGAGGAGGUUCAGAAUGUGAUCAUAGUUUCACACCAGUCAGAUAAAGUGAGAUGAACAUGAUAUCUAUAUAAUCAAACACAAUUAUCUCUAUUAAUAUCAUAUGAUUAUGAAGAUAUUUGGAGGAUGUCUUGUACUAAGAAGGGUUACUCCAGCCACAGGCUUCUCUCAAUCUUGGGUUAAUAAGUUUUGGUCUAAUCUUACCUCUGACACUAACUAUAAUUAAUUGUUGACAAACAGAAAGAUUUCCUUUUAGAACAGCUAUUUUUGCAAUGGCAUAUUUCUAAUGGUCUGAGCACAUUACAAUUUGAAUAUUCAGGUUGAUUUGCUGAUAGAAGAAAACAAGAGAUUGAACCAGCUUGUGAGUUUUACAAACCAUGUUAAUAUUUUUUUAUUUUUAGUGUUUGUAAAAGGGAAAAUUAAUGAUUGAAGUUUUGUUGUCUGUGGUAGGAAGUGGACAAAUUGGGAGAGCAAAUAAUGCAGAACAUACAAGGACAUUCUUCUGAGUCUAUAGGGAAUAAUUCAACUUCAUCAAAUAACCCUUCUCAAGAUUAUGACAGCUCUGACACUUCUCUCAAACUGGGGUUAGUUUAAUUUUCAAACUAUUCCAAAGUUCUUCUUUCUUGAGGAUUUGUUUGGUAUAUAUUAUGUAUUGUUUAUUAGUUUCGGUCAAAGUCAAUCGAAAUGGAUCCUACGAGAGUAAGAUAUAUAAGAUAUAUAUGAGCUACUUCGAUUAAUUAAAACAUUAAUUUGCAUCUAAAAUGUACGUUUCUUUUUCAUAAAUACAUAUUUUAAGUCUCGUUUCAUAACUACGCUACAUUAUAUUUUUUUAAAACGUAUUCUACAAAAGCUUUCUUUCAUUACUUUGGUUUUCAGAAUUUGGAUAAUCAUGUUUAAAUAUUUACUAAACAAGAUCAUAGUUUUUCUUGGAGAAUUUUCUUAUACAUAAUUAUGAAUUUAUUUUGAAAAUGAUCCCUUGAAUGUGUGAAAUAAAUUCCAAAAGUAUAUUGUUGAUAGAUAUUUUCUUGGGCACUCGUGCUAACAAUUUCGUUUUCGUUUUUUUUUUUAAAAAAAAACCAAGUCUAUUUCCUCUCUCUCUCUUUUUUUUUUUACCAUAGUUUACAUCUAACAAAAUUUUAAAACUAGUUGACUUGGUUUAGGAAAAAGUAAAAAGUUGGUUACUUAGACGUAAAAGAAGUUUUUAUAGGCUUAAUAUUUAUAAACUAAAAACGUAAACCUAAGGUUUCGUUUGGUAAUGAUUUUGUUAUUUGUUUUUAAAAUUAAGCCGAUAGUGAUAGAAAAUUAGGCAUAGGGGCAACCAAAAAUAGAACAAAAUAAUACCCUAUUUGUAAUGAUUAACAUCAUGAAACCCUAAAAUAAAUUGAAAAUCCGUUAACUCAAAAUUCUCUUCACAUGAACUCGACCCGAUCACCACUAGAAUUUUCUGCUAUUCUUUGGACUCAAUCAUGUUGUGGGACCCGAUGAACGAAGAAAUCGGGAUAGAGAAAGAGAUGGAAAAUAAGGAGGAAGGAUUUUUCUUGUGAAAUUGGGCUUUUAGUGCUUGAGAGAGGUUCUUCUGAAGAACAAUUUCAGCAGCCCAAAAUUUCUAAACAUUGCCUUUCAAAUAUAGAAAGAUGUAAAUUAUUAUAGAAAAUAGACUUAAUUUUCAAAAACUAAAAACAAAUAACGAUAUGAACCAAAAGGACAGUAAAGAAGAAUCGAUACAAGCAACUAGUUAACCUAAUUUGGUGCAACAUCGGGGCUAUGCCCAAUUGAGAAGAUCGAAAUAUUCACUAGAAUUAUUAAAAAGAUUACAAGUACACAACUUAUAUCCUUUUAAUACACACUAGAAAAUCACUUGGGCUCAACGUGAAUCAAUAACCUAAUCAAACAACCAUAUAUAAGAAUCAACUAUAUGCUUAUUGUAUUUAAGAUUAACAUAAAAUAUUAAAGAAUAUGAUCAACUGGUGCAGACCUAAUAAUUAAUUAUACAUCCAAACCCAAAUUUUACUUUGUAAACUGUGUUAUAAUUAAUUACUAACAGCCUUGAUUGUUCUUCUAUUAUAAUCAUUAUUAUUUGAGUUGUUGUUGUUGCAGAUUGCCAUUGCUUGAUUUUUGAAUUAUAUGGCUGAAGAUUGGCAUCUGAAUCAACCCAAAAGAUCAGCAAUUUACCAUUUGGAAAAGAGUUCAUUUGGUAUAUAUAUAUAUAUAGAGUCUGAAAAAAAAAAAAGAAUGAUAAAUAAGGUAGGAUUAAGUGAGCAUGUAUAUGAAAUUAUGCAAUAAAUUAGGUUGAAUGAUAUAUAUGUGUAGAACACAAUUACUAAAAUUAAAUUUGCUUGAAUUUGUUGCAUUUUGGAUCAUACCAUAAAUUGCUAUGCCUUUCCAAGCACACCUAUAAGGUUGUAGUAAUUAAUUAAGAGACACUCCCAAUGUAAUUCAAUUUAAGUGCCUCUUAAUUAGUCAAUUACUAUAAUUAGGUGCUAAGUGUCCUUACCAAACUCUUUAAUUUAAUUUAUUCUGACUGUUCUUACCAAACUCUUUAACUUAAUUUAUUUUAUUGCGAGUGUUCUUACCGAACUCUUUCGUCACAUGUACGUAGGUCUAUUGUCGUUUAUUAUAGAUAAAAAGUAAAAAUUAGAAUACGGAAAUGUUUGGUUUAACUUUUUAAUUUUGAAAGCAGGUCAUUUUUAAAAAAAAAAUUGAAUUGCUUGACAAUAACUCAAAAUAAUUAUUUAAACGAUCUUUAAUUUUAUUUUAAAUUGUUUUUACGAAUUUUAAAAGGAGAAAUUGUUAUGAAUAAAAAAAAGUUAAAAUUAGUUUCACGUUUAUGAAAAAAAAAUUAGGAGCACUCUUGAAAAAUAGUAAAAAAAGAUUAUGAUAAUAUGUCCGAUGCCAUUGUAUUUUAUAAAUUGUAAAAGUAGGAAAUUUAAAAGUGUUAUUGAUAUCACUAAUUUUGAUAUAUCGAAAUAUGCAAAAAAAAAAAAUAUAUAUAUAUAUAUAUCAUGAGCUGUUUUUUUUUCUAAACGUUUUUGUCAUUUUAUGUAAUUUUUCAAAAAGAAUUAAAUAAGUUAUUGAAAAUUUGAUUAAUUUUGAUAAAUUUGAAAAUUACUAUAAAAGAUUAUAUUAAAAUGAUAAAAUUGUUCGAAAAUAUUUAUCAAUAUAACAUAGUAUCAUAAUAUCAUAAUGCAUCUACGAUAGAUUACUAUCGGGAUUAGACAAAGAGUCGUGCGUACCUCUCGUACACUAUUUGGCAUAGCCCACCCCACAAGAGAAUAAGCAAUUGAGUUGACAGACAAACUUUAAACUAAAAAUAGCCAUGAAGAGAGAAAAAUGCAUGAGAAUGUUUUUCAAAAGGAGAAAAAAAGUAGAGAUGAAAAACUCUUUAUCCUAUGCGAAUAAUAUCUCGCUUUGUAACAAACGAUUUCGAGAAGGAUAGAGUGCGAAAAUAAUAAAAGAAUGAUCCCUUAGAACAAAGGAAAAAAAUGGUCUCAGUAAUGGACUAUACAUUGACAGAGACGGUGGUGGAUAUAAAAUGAAGCCUUUCUUCCAUUAUGGGUAUGCGCCAUAAACAGAACUUAACCAAGACUUCAAAAAUGAAUUGCUGUCACCAGAGUUUGAGAAUUCAGAUUUCACUUCUAACUUAAUUAAGGGUGUGUUUUGGACGUGAUCAAAAUGAUCACUUUUUCUUUUGCCAAAAUUACUUUUCCUAGAUGAUUUUUGUUAGGUAUAAAUCCCGACGUUUCAGCAAGUAAUUUUGAGCCAUUAAGAAAAACUUAAUUAGCAUUGGAUGAAAGUCCAAGAAGUACUCUUCUGUUUCUGUAAAGGAUAAAAUUAAUGUACAUAUAUAUAUUAUAGAAAAACCAACAAAAAAACUAAAAGAACUGUUACACACUAAAAGAAAUAUGUAUUCAUAAUAUAAUGUUUUAAUAGGUGGAGAGAACAACAGUCUAUAGAUACGAACACACAGUACACUGAUAGAAAAAGAAAACAUAACAAACAUAAAAAUCUCUCGUACACAAAGGGAAAAUUUAAGAAAAACAUGAAGAAGUGUGUAUAAUUAUAAAUGCAGCUGUGUUCUUUUAGAUAUAUGAUUCAGUAUGGUAUUCAAGGAGUAGUUGUGGUUGUGUGGGGUGGGUUAAAUGAAGGGAAAGGUAUGUCCUUUGGAAGAGAAGGCAAUACUGGUUUUGGGAGUGAUGGCAAUUCGGGUACUUUGGGAAGUUCUGGUUUAGGAAUAUUUGGUAAUUCGGGCAAUUUAGGGAGUUCUGGUUUUGGUAAGUUUGGUAGUUCAGGUAGUUUUGGGAGUUCAGGUUUUGGUAGAUGAUCGGGAACUUCAGCAAGUUUAGGGAGAUCAAACUUAGGCAUGGUUGGAAUUUCAGGAACUUUGGAGUGAUCAAAGUUAGGUACUUUUGGUAAUUCAGGCAACUUUGGAAGUUCAGGCUUUGGCAAUUCAGGGACUUUAGGCUUUUCUAGAGGUGGAAGAUGAGGCAGUGGAGGUAACUCAACUUUCGGUAGUGGAGGAAGCUCUGACUUUGGCAAAGUGGGUAUUUCAGGCUUUGGAAGCCCUUCAGGUCCAUGAGGUAUUGGCGUCUCCAAGAGAUGCCUUGCGCUCACUGACAUAAUAAGAAAAUCAAAGCUCAUGGUGACUAUAAGAAUACCAAGUACCAAAGAAGCUUUAAGGGUUGAUAAGGGACGAGUAGCCAUUAGGAUCUAAACAACAAUGGACCAAGGAAUUGAUAAUAACACAAAAACGAAGAUGAUUUGAUGAGAUUAGCUGUGUUGAUGAUCUCAAUAUGCAACAUGCAAAGGUAUUUAUAGGUAAAGAAAGAAGAGGUGGAGAAAAGCACAUAUAUGAAUUGUUUAAGAAGAGAUGAAUAAUGGUAGAGGAAGUGUUAGUUCAACUUUCACACCUACACAUUUGAGUACACAUUUCUUGCAAAAAUAAAAUUCUUAAAAAGUAGAAAUAUAUAUACAUUAUUUGAUUGUACCAAUAAUAAACCAUAUAUUAGUGAAAAUAAAUAAUAAUUAUAUCUAAUUUCUUCCAAAAUAAGAGAAAAACAAUAGUUCUUUAUUAUCCAUAUACAAAAUCAAGAUACUUGAAAGAUUAAAAGAAAAAAGAAAAAAAAAACCCAUAAAAAUGUCCAAAUAAAUUUAAUCAAAUAAUGAUCUUCAUAAAUUUUAUUUCUUCCUUCUUUGACAUUUUUGACACAAGAUUAUGAUCAAUGUCUUCAAUUGAGUCAAAUAUGGUUUGCUUACCAAACAAAUAGAGAAUGCUAAUAACUUAUUCUUUAGUAUAUAUGGAGUUUGUUGGCCAAAUUAUUAUCAGUAGAUCUUCCUUUUCUUUUAUUCUUUGUACCAUGCAACGUUUACCUUAAGAGUAUUGCAAAAUCCUUUCGCCCACUCCGCGUUAGCAAUGCAAAAAAAUAGCAAAUUUUUUUUUAUAAUAAUAGGACUUAUCUCGCUACAAAUAGCAAAUCUAAAAUGGGAUAAUUGCAAAUUUAUCUAUUAGAUUCAAAAUAAUUAGGUAUAUAACAACAUUUUAAAUAAAAAAUUUGCAAGUAUAGCAAAAUUUAUCAAUGAUAUGUUGCAAAUAUUGGUCUAUCUAUCCCUGAUAUUGAUACAAGUCUAUCAGCGAUGGUUUUGUUAUAUUUGCAAUUUUUUAAAAAUGUUAUUAUAUUUUUAAUUAUUAUUUCUAAAAUAACCAUCAAUUAUAAUUACUCUAAUUUAAAAGCCGAUAACCCUCUAAUAACUUUUCGAUAGACGUUUGAUAUCACCAAUUUUUCCAUAUUCACACUAUGUAAAAAGAAAUAGGUGUUAUAGGUUAUUUUUUUGUAAUGUUUUUUUUUUUUAUUUGAUGCAAUUUUCCAUAUUGAAAAGGGUAAAUUGCAUAGGUGAAACCAUCAAAUUAAAUAUUUAUGACCAUUUUCUGAUCACAACACAAUUUUAACCUUACUUAUUUUAUGUACUUAAAUUGUUUUAAAAUAAUUUUUCUUAGGGAUGUAGAUUUUGAUCACAACACUCUGUAGUUUCACAUGUCAAGAAGAAUAGCAUUUUUGUUGAUUUGUUACUUUUCUAAUUUUUCAACUUUUUUUUAAUUUUGAGCUUUAUUUAAACUCAAAAUCUUAAUUUACAGAGAAAUUGAAUUUAUAAACAUUUUUUUUAAAAAAAUUCACAUCGUUACACUUCAAAGAUGAAUUGAUGUAAGUUUUUUCUUUUAUCAUCUAAAGCUUUCAUGAUGUCCUCUGGUUAAAUUAGAUUUUAUGUAUAUGUCAUUAUAAUCUCCGAUCAUAAAAGAAUUUAUCUUUUUUGAAAUAAGUAUAACGUAAUUGUAAAAUGCUUCAUUUUUUCAUAUUAUUAAAUAUAAUUUAUCUUCUUCAAUCAUAUUUCUCGAACUAGAUUACCAAACUAUGAAUUUAUUCAAGUCAUAUAAUUCGAUUGGAUUUGUAUGUCCUGGUAGUUUCUCUUCAGUAUGCUAUUGUCAUUUUAAGUAGUGAAUAAUUUGGACUUUUGUAUAUCUCUCAGCUUAUAAAUUUACCCCAUGUGUAACCAUUGAGAGAAGUUCUACAAAGAAACAACAUUACAGUUACAACAUAUAUGAUAAAUGAAAAUAUGAUUUUAUAUAUUCAUAAUAUAAAUCUACAAGACAGCAACAUCAUGUAAACUAUAAGAACACACUGAUAUAAAUAGGAACAAACCAUUACAUAAAAAGGUAAUCUCACACUGACUAGAAAUGACACAUGGUUUUCAAUGUUGUAUAUAAAUGUAUGUUUAAUUCUAACUUUGUAGAUCAAAUAUGGUCUUCAAGGGUUGAUUGUGGUGGUAUGGGGUGAGUUAAAUGAAGGGUAAGGUAUGUCCUUAGGAAGGGAGGCAAAUGCUGGCUUUGGGAGGGGUGGGAACUCAGGCAGCUUAGGGAGUUCUGGUUUGGGCACAUUUGGUAAUUCUGGCAAUUUUGGAACUUCAGGUUUAGGAAAAUUUGGCAAUUCAGGAAAUUUAGGGAACUCAGGUUUUGGCAGUUCUGAAACUUCAGAUAGUUUAGGCACGUUUGACGAAUCUUUUGAGUGAUCAAGGUUAGGUACUUUUGGUAAUUCAGGCAAUUUCGGCUUUUCCAAGGGUGGAAGAUGAGGCAAUGGAGGUAACUCAACCUUUGGCAAUGGAGGAAACUCGAGGUUUGGCAAAGAAGGUAUUUCUGGUUUUGGAAGCUCUUCAGGUAAUGGAGUUUCCAAGAGAUACCUCGCAUCCACGGUCAUGAUCGAAAUAUCAAAAUUCAUCAACAUAAAAACACCAAGUAUCAAAGGAAAUACCAAA
Molecule: long non-coding RNA, 70504 nt
Filed under: Cucumis sativus (cucumber)
Lineage: Eukaryota; Viridiplantae; Streptophyta; Magnoliopsida; Cucurbitales; Cucurbitaceae
Description: long non-coding RNA (CSAT_LNC002657)
Source: RNAcentral